UUUUUUUUCUUUUAUGGUGUUAUUAGUGUGGUAUUUUUUUUCUUGAACUGGUAGGUUCUAUUACUAGUGUGGUACAGUUUAGAGCCACUGCAAUGGAAAGCAUGAAAGUAUCCAUCCUAAUCGCCAAUUCCACCAAUUCAUUUGCCAUUUUUACGGGUAAUUCCUUUAUUAAUGUUAAUUCAUCUAUAUUUAUAUCUAUAUCAAUAUAAAAAGACCCAAAGAGGCAGAUCCAAUUUAUCUUGGUCAUCAAACUAAGUCAAUCCAACGACUUAGUCUGCUCCAAUGGCGAGCGUUCAACAUGUUUAACGUGCAAUUAAUAUCAUGCCAAACAUUGUACUAAUCACGGAAUUAACACGGAAAUAAUAGCAUACCUAAUAUCCGCGUGCAAUUAAUAUAUUGCCUAAAUAUUAACGUGCGUUGCACGUGCACAUUUACUAGUGUUGAAGUAGUGCGCUAACGUCAAAAAAGGUUUUUUAGGUUAAAAAAGAUGAGGGUUGUACUAGUGCCCUUGCUAGCCAACCUGAUAUAGCCUACAAUCACCUUUUUAGAAGAAUCGCCCACAAUCGCUUAACUAUCUAAAGAAAAAAGGCCCAAGGCCCAGAUCGCAAAAGAAAAACGGUUCAUCCUUCUUCCUGAAGACACGGUCACGUUCUGUGCUCUUUUAAUGACAUAUUCGACGGUUAGGGAUAGAGGUGCUCUGAGGAGCAACUAGUUAACGAGCGCUACUUCGGGAGCCUCGUAACGAUUACCGUCACAUGUUGCGCUCUGGGUGAUCCUUUUGAAUUUUUUUUUAUGCACACGUUUCGACUUUUUAAAUGUUAUUUUUUUGACUUUUCGGUUUUUCAUCGGUCUUCCUUAGCUUUUGGACAAAAAAAAUUGAAAUUUUUUUUGGGCAAAAAACGUGUUUUCUUUGCUUCCGCGAUAGGCACGGUUUUGCUUCCGCAAGAGGCACGGGUUUGCUUUCAUGAGAGGCACGGCUGUGCCUCUCGGAAAUGAAAAAAAAACGCGUUUUGUGUGUUUUUUUCUUCCGCGAGAGGUACGGUUUUGCUUUCGCGAGAGUCUCGGCCUUGCCUCUCGGAAACGGAAAAAAACCGUGUUUUCUAUUUCUUUUUUCUUCUACGAGAGACACGGUUUUAUUUCCGCGAGAGACAUCGAGGUAGUGGAGAAUGCUUCCUCGCGCCUUCACGACGAUCGCAAAGGGGAAGCACCGCCAAUGCGGCCUAGCUGCAACUAGCACGGCUAGGAGGUGGCGGCUCCGACUCAUCCUUCACGCGGCAAGGCGAUGGCGACAUGCGCUCCUCCUUCACGUGACGUCCGAUUUGGAUGCAGCGAAUGCAUGGAAGGGGUGGGAGAGAAGGGAGGGAGGGAGGCUCCGCCUUCAUCCGUCGGCGAGGAGGAGAAUGGCACGAGCGGACUGUGGUCAUGGUGGAGCGAGCGCCGGAGCAUCAGCUCCAUCUGCGCUUCGCAUUCCUCCGCCGUCGUGGUGGCCUACGAGAGGAGGUGCGGCUGUUGCUGCGGCUUGUACUCCUCGUCGCUGGGGGAGAUAAAGAUAUCCACCUUUGUGGAGGAGCCGACAGCCAUGGAGGAAGAGGGCCCCGGAGAGCAAGGAGGGCGACGCCAUGAUCCGGAGCCGGAUCCGGAUCCACCCGCCGGUGUCGAGGCCCAAGACUUGCCCAUCGAGGGUGAGUGGAGGAAGAUGGGAGCGGGGGUGGUGCACGGAGAUGUGGAGAGUGCGAUGGGGACGUCUCGGCGUCGUGCUGAAAUAGCUGCGGUCAGGAGAAUGGACAGCAAACCCGCUUCAAUGCGGCGUAGCAGCUGGAAUUGGUUUCUCGGGACGAUGUGUUCGGAGUGAAGUGACGCCCCCGCCUGGUCACGUCGGUCAAUGCCUCCCACCCGUCCGGUUAUAUCCGCGGCAUCAAUGUCGGCCGCUGCUGCUAUGGGCCGGCAUGUAUGCAACACGUUCGUUGAAGAGAUAGCACGGGAGAGGGUUUUGGGUAGGACCUGGGUGUCAGACACUACACGGUCCACACUUCCGCAAAGCCCUGCUUGUUGUUUGCUUUCAGUUUACGAGAAAACAGAUGUUUGGAUGGUCUGUGGAUGGAUGGGGUACCGUGUUGAAUGGCAAAAUGUGGCCGGACCGUUCGGUGUGUAAGCGUUGUUAAUGCCCUAAGUGUGUGAAGUGUAUGAAAGGCUUGCCACCUCAACUUACCGUGCAUAGGUGCUUAGCUUUUUGUUUAUAUGCUUUCUUAAUAUACUUACUUGUAGAUUUAGAUUUUUUUUAAACACAGUACAGACGCAUGUGCUCAUAUAUACGCACAUACACUCAUAUCUAUGGACACACACACGAAGUCAUCAAAGGUGCCUCGUAGUUGAUGGAACGUCUCCUCCCAUCGAACAUGCAUCGCCGAAGAUCCUGAAGUAAAUCCAAAAAUUAAUGUGAGCACCAGGAGUUGAACCCUGAUGGACUAGGAAUACCAUUGUCUUCCUAACCAUACAACCACAAGUUGGUUCGCGUUGUAGAUUCGGAAUUAUUAUUUUUUCACUUAAUUACACAUGGUUAACAUCGUUUCUUCCUAGAUUCAUCAAACUAUGAUCUUUGUUCAACUUGUCACAUGAGAUUUUAUGUGUACCUGCAACCUUACGUCUCCUUUGGUUUAUAGGAAUUUUGUAGAAAUUGUAAAGGAUAGAAACUUUGUAGGAAAAAUUACUUUGAAGUCUUUUGGUGUGUAGGAAUGGAUUACUAUUCCUACAUAGGAUAGGAUUCAAUCCUUCAUAUUUUAUGGGAAAAAUAUUAGCCUAGGCUCAAUGAAAAAAAUCAUUGUCCUAUGUAUCAUUGAUAUGUCUUUCUUCAUAGGAAUUGAGAUUCAUGUUAUCUCACUUCAUAUGAUUUUUCUAUUUCUAUACUAUUUUUAUCCUAUGAACCAAAUGAGGCAUCUCGACGAGAUGGAGAAAUUGGGAAAGACCUUGCUGGCAGUGGGAUUUGUGUGCGAUUGAGAGUUUGCUCACUAGUCACCACUCAUACCAAAUGGUUCCAUUUUGUUACUUCUGCUUUUAUUUCUUUUCAUCACACAAGAAGUAAAAAUGGCGGCAUGCAAGGACUGAUAAGACCUCCUCCAAUGUACUGUAUUUGUGCUUAGGUGAGAUUCUAAGUGCAUUAAUUGUCUUAGCAAUUAAUGUCAUCAAUGCAUGAUUCUUUAUCAGCAAAACUCCUCUAUGCAUUGGUCGGUAGACAUUUUAUAUAGGUUCACGUGCUUAGACUAGUCAUAGUGAGGAGUAACUUAGACUAGUAACAUGCAUAUGUUACUAGCCUAUAUUACUACCUCCAUAGUGGGUAGUAACAUGGUUGUGGUAUCAUAUAAGUCUUCAUUUAUUUAGGUGUAGACUCACCUUGUCUCGGGUUGCGGGUAACAUAUUAUGUUACCCCAAACCUCUCUUUCCUCAUUAAUUACUUGCCACAUAAGCAAAUUCUUCUUGAUAUGCGUUAUGUUACUAGCUAAGUUACUCUUACUAUGACUAGUCUUAGAACCGUUUUCUUCUAGAUCAUCAUAAUGCUCUUUCUUUUUUUAAUUACUUUGCCACAUCAUUUUUUUAUCUAUAAGGCAUCCUUAGCAUCCAUACACGAUGGAGCAUUGAGAGGGGCCUUAGAAACGACAGCGGCGUCGUUGUUCACACGCCCUCCGGGGCACUCCGCUGAUACGAACACACUGGUUGAGUAGCUUUGCAAAGCGAGAACGUACUGGCUGAAAACUGCGCGCUUCGAUCGGCCGCACUAGUAGACAGAGACAGACAAACAGAGAUCGUCCCCGUCGGAGCUGGAGCUCGCAUCACUGUUACCCAGCCGCAUUCGACCGAUCGGGGUGGCCGGGAGAGAAGCGAGCCACCUGGCACGGCCAGCGAGAUAGAGUCGAUCGAUCGCAGCCACGGCGGUGCGCCGUCGAGCCCUCUGCCCGGCUUGCGUUGCGCCGCGAGCCGCUUUCCGCCCUCGAUUGGCGCGUUGUGCGGGUAGGAACGAGUGGUUUGGUUGGUGCGUGGAAUGGUCGGUGGUGGGCUCGCGCCGGCCGGUGCUCCCGUCUCCGGGGGAGGUCGACCGGCCUCUCUCUCCCCCGCGCGCGCGCGUUCCACCAACCGGUCCAAGCAGAAUCCGCCGGUCUCGCCCGGGCCAGCACGUACGCCACCACGCCUUGGGCGCACUCGCGUCACACGUUCCCUUGACCCGCCGGGAACUCCGACGUGCACAAACUGCCAGGGUUCGAUCGACCGUCCGGUGAUCCGGGGUUUGACACGGCGGCGAACUCAGCACCCGACGUACAGGAGCAAAAUGCUGCUUCGUCUCUCGCGCGCUCUGCGGAGGCCGGCCCGGGGCCUCGCGUGGUCCACCAAACAGUCAAACCGAAUCCGCCGUCUCAGUCAGGUGAAUAGGAGUGAGAGUGCUGUCACGACAAUUCUUACAAACUCAUACAUAUAUGUAGUAUUCCUCCGUCUCAAAAUAAGUGUCUUAACUUUAUACCAACUUUAAUACAAGGGCAUGGUUAGGUCUCAGUCGACUGAGAUUUAACCAAGUCUAAGUCAAGUGAUAUAACAUGCAAGAAAACAAACUAAAAAAAAAAUUUGCACGGAUCUCAAUGGAAAAUCUCAUGGAUAUAGCAUCGACUGAGACUUAACGAAGUCUUAGUCGACUGAGACUUAGCAAGACUGUUAAUACAAAUUUGCAUUAAGAUCAAGACAGUUAUUUUGGUACCGAGGGAGUAUAUGCGUGGAAAGUGUGAUCAGUCCAAUGCAGUGCACUCUCUUAAUGCCUUUUCACAUGGGAUGCACCGCAAGGUGCUCUUGUGUAAGAGGAGCAUUUCCAACAGGCGCGCGAUAUUUGCGGCGCGCCGAAAAAACCGCCAGUUUGGCGCGCGAGAGGUUGCGCGGCGCGCUUCAGUAAGCGCGCGAAAUAAAUUAACGUGCGUGGUAGUUUGCUGUGCGACGGCCAUCGCGCUGGUUAAAAGCCGCACGUCUGCGCCCGCCAACCGCCAGAAAGUCCCCUCCCACCGCGCCUUCUUCCCCCGCCUCUUCCAGCGCCCCUCCGCCCCCGUGCCUUAUCCCUCAACCUNNNNNNNNNNNNNNNNNNNNNNNNNNNNNNNNNNNNNNNNNNNNNNNNNNNNNNNNNNNNNNNNNNNNNNNNNNNNNNNNNNNNNNNNNNNNNNNNNNNNNNNNNNNNNNNNNNNNNNNNNNNNNNNNNNNNNNNNNNNNNNNNNNNNNNNNNNNNNNNNNNNNNNNNNNNNNNNNNNNNNNNNNNNNNNNNNNNNNNNNNNNNNNNNNNNNNNNNNNNNNNNNNNNNNNNNNNNNNNNNNNNNNNNNNNNNNNNNNNNNNNNNNNNNNNNNNNNNNNNNNNNNNNNNNNNNNNNNNNNNNNCUCGGUCACAGAUGAAUUUCUCCCACGUGCGGACGCGCGAGCAGACGCAGGAUCUCGUGCCUCCUCCGUGACUAAUCAGCAACGAGGAUCGCCGCCUCCAGCGGAGGCGGGAGCACCGCCUCCUCAUCGCCAAGGCGGACGAGCAUGCCAUGGUGGUGUGGCGUGAGUGCUUCCCGCAGAAUGUCACCGCAGAGAACGAGUUCUGGGCGCAGAGGAGGGCAGAGCGAGACGUGCGUCGGGCGGACAAGCGUGCGCGGAAGGAACUGGCGAAAGCCUAGAUCGAGCUGGGACCUGCGUCGACCUGGGAUGAUGAAGAUCCUCAGUGGCUCGACGCGUUUACACCGUUGAACUACACCACCGAGGAGGACGGGGAGUAGUCUAGCAUCAUUUUAUCUAUUUUUAUUUAGCAUCGUAUGAACUUGCUCGUGGUUUGGGGCUUGAGCUAUGCUAUGAAUUUGAACUAUGAAUGUUUUCGUAUGUGUUGUUCCAUAUUUUUUUUCCAAAUGCCAGCUGGUCGCGCGCGCUGAACUUUACAGCGCCUGGUGAAGCACUACAGCGGCUCACUAAAUUUUGUAGCACCUGAAAAAGUAACCAUCCUUCAACGCGCGCUAAAACGCUAUUUCGACGCUGCAAAUUUUUUCUAGCGCGCUGCGCUACCGCACACCCGUUGAAGAUGCUCUAACAAAGAGACAGGAAAAAAAUAGCAACUCUGCUCCCACGCGAAAAUAUGAAGCUGGACAGCGUAGGAUUCGACAGGGAUGAGAAGGGAGCAGCGAGACACGAGACACAAGCUGGAUUGAUGGUGUCACCAAACUUGUUAGUACAUGUGUGUGACAAGCGACAAUCACUUGAAAGAUAGUACUUACCGUGAGUUAGAGCAUCCACAGUGUGCCCUUUUGCUGCCUCUAUAGCUGCCUCUAAUCCUUUACUUCGCCGAUGACCCAGUCUUCAGCCCCAAGCAAUUUCGUCGAAGGUAUAGAAUGAGAAAGCAUCGAUUUGAACAUAUUGUGCACACACUUGGUGAUUGGUCACCUUACUUUAGUCAAAGGUAUGAUGGCUUUGGCAAGAAAGGGUUUUCACCAUUGCAAAAGUGUACAGCAACUAUGCGGAUGUUAGCCUAUGGUGUCCCAGCAGAUUAUAUCGAUGACACUCUAAGUAUGGCUGAAACCACAUCCCUUGAGUGCUUGAGAGAAUUUGCAAAAGGCAUUAGAGAAAACUUUGGUGAAGUAUAUUUGCAAAGAGAGCCUUGGCUCAGUGGUUGGGCAUGCGGUUGUGCAGUCUAACGGCCCGAGUUCAAUUUCUAGAAUUGACAGGUGAUGCACAGGGGUUUUCCCCCAUUUAUUUAGGAUCAAGUUUGAUGUGUGGUUGAUACUCGUUUAAAAAAAUUAUGAGGAUCAUGUUUAUCUUGGUACUCAUACUAAAAUGACCGUAUGCAUCCCUAGUUGGUGCAGAGGCCAGGGAAGUGAAAUUCUCCCCCAAUUUUAAGCUUAGCUUCCUCCAGGGCGACUCGGGCGGGGCAUCUCACAGGGCUCCUCACGGUCCUCCAGGAAAAUAGGAUCAGCCCCCGCGUCGUCCUCCUCCAGGGCGACUCGGGCGGGGCAUCUCACCCCCCGGCGCAAGGCCUCCUACCGGCGUUCACCCAUCCGCCGCUGCCUAACGCAUCCCCGGGAAAAGCCCGCUCGGAUCUGGCGGCGGCGGGCCGCGGCUCUUAGGGCAUCGUCACCCCUCGAAAUGGGGUAUCGGGUGGUGGCCGACGGCACGGCGCUGCCCCGGAGCGCGUCGCCGAGCUCUGAGGUGGAGGGGACGACGGUGGUUGCGGGCGGAUGCCGUCGGCCCGGUGCUUGGGCGUGUUCGUGAGGCCCGGUGGCUGGCUACCGGCCAUGGUCGCCGGGAUGCGGACGGCGUGAUGGCGGGUGCGGCACGCCGGCAACUGGGCGGAGACGCCCUUGUCUGGGUCCUUGACACCGCGGGCAACUCCGGGGGAAACCCAAGAUCUCAUUGCGAUCGAGCGAUGGCGGUGCUUUAGUGUCGUAGUCCCUCUUGAGGGCAUCGUUUUUGGAGUUUGCUCAGGUUCAAGGGGCCAGCGACGCCGGAGUGAAGGAAAUAUGCCCUAGAGGCAAUAAUAAAGUUGUUAUUUAUAUUUCCUUAUAUCAUGAUAAAUGUUUAUUAUUCAUGCUAGAAUUGUAUUAACCGGAAACUUAGUACAUGUGUGGAUACAUAGACAAAGAGAGUGUCCCUAGUAUGCCUCUACUUGACUAGAUCGUUAAUCAAAGAUGGUUAAGUUUCCUAGCCAUAGACAUGUGUUGUCAUUUCAUGAACGGGAUCACAUCAUUAGAGAAUGAUGUGAUGGACAUGACCCAUCCGUUAGCUUAGUAUUAUGAUCGUUUAGUUUUAUUGCUAUUGCUUUCUUCAUGACUUAUACAUGUUCCUCAGACUAUGAGAUUAUGCAACUCCCGAAUACCGGAGGAACACCUUGUGUGCUAUCAAACGUCACAACGUAACUGGGUGAUUAUAAAGAUGCUCUACAGGUGUCUCCGAUGGUGUUUGCUGAGUUGGCAUAGAUCGAGAUUGGGAUUUGUCACUCCGUGUAUCGCAGAGGUAUCUCUGGGCCCUCUCGGUAAUGCACAUCACUAUGAGCCUUGCAAGCAAUGUGACUAAUGAGUUAGUCACGGGAUGAUGCAUUACGGAACGAGUAAAGAGACUUGCCGGUAACGAGAUUGAACUAGGUAUGAUGAUACCGACGAUCGAAUCUCGGGCAAGUAACAUACCAAUGACAAAGGGAACAACGUAUGUUGUUAUGCGGUUUUGACCAAUAAAGAUCUUCGUAGAAUAUGUAGGAGCCAAUAUGAGCAUCCAGGUUCCGCUAUUGGUUAUUGACCGGAGAUGUGUCUCGGUCAUGUCUACAUAGUUCUCGAACCAGUAGGGCCCGCACGUUUAACGUUCGAUGACGAUUUGUAUUAUGAGUUAUGUUCUUUGAUGUAUCGAAGUUUGUUCGGAGUCCCGGAUGAGAUCACGGAUAUGACGAGGAGUCUCGAAAUGGUCGAGACAUAAAGAUUGAUAUAUUGAAAGGUUAUGUUUGGACACCGGAAAGGUUUCGGAAAGGUUCGGGCAUUUUCCGGAGUACCGGGGAUUACCGGAACUCCCCCGGGGAGUUAAUGGGUCUUCAUGGGCCCUAGUGGAGAGAGGAGCUGGUGGCGUGCGCCCCUCCAAGCCCAAACCGAAUUGGACUAGGGUUGGGGGGCCAACCCCCCUUUCCUUCUCUCCUUCUCCUCUUUCCCUCCUCCUAGUGGGAAUAGGAAAGGGGGGGGGCAAAUCCUACUUGGAGCGGGAGUCCAAGUAGGACUCCCCCCAUGGUGCGCCCCCCCUUGGGCCGGCCACCUCUCCUCCCCCCUUUAUAUACGUGGGAGGGGGGCACCCCAAAGGCACACCAAGCCUUCUCUUAGCCGUGUGCGGUGGCCCCCCACCACAGUUACACACCUCGGUCAUAUCGUCGUAGUGCUUAGGCGAAGCCCUGCGCCGGUAACUUCAUCAUCACCAUCGCCAUGCCGCCGUGCUGACGGAACUCUCCCUCGGCCUCAACUGGAUCAAGAGCUCGAGGGACGUCAUCGAGCUGAACGUGUGCUGAACACGGAGGUGCCGUACGUUCGGUGCUUGAAUCGGUUGGAUCGCAAAGACGUUCAACUACAUCAACCGCAUUACUAAACGCUUCCGCUUUCGGUCUACGAGGGUACGUGGACACACUCUCCCCGCUUGUUGCUAUCCAUCUCCAAGAUAGAUCUUGCGUGAUCAUAGGUAAAAAAAUUUGAAAUACUGUGUUCCCCAACACGGAGGUGCACGGCCUGGUGGCGCGACUGCCGAUGAAAAUCGUGCCGACUUUGGUCAUGGCGGACGAUGGCGGCGUCUCCGAUGUCGUUUCCUUGUUGAGGAAUCGUCGUUGCAGUUUGCGUCAUCAUGCUCGGGAUGCUCCGAGGGAAACCCUAGAUCUGGGCUUCCCGGAUCGGACGAUGACGACGCCUUUCGUGUCGUCCUCCCUCCUGAGGGCAUCGUUUUGGAGCAAGUGCUGGUUGGAGGGGACUACUGGAGGAGCGGUGUUACAUCUACCGCAAGGCCGGCGGCGGAUCCCGGCGGCAUGGCGCCAUGGAGGUUUGAUGAUGGGCGCAUUGGAGAUGGACUCGCGCAGGAGGAGGAAGCUGUCUGGCGUCAUGGUGGCGUUGAUGGCAGAGAGGCCUGGCAAGGUCGGUGCAUCAGUUCUGCUCUGAGGAUGGACCGAGAGAAGAUGGAGGUGACGGCCCUUGCAGCGUGCGGUGCUCACUGGGAGUGUGCCAGACCGGUGUGGGACUCAAUCCAGGUAGUGGCUUGGAUGGGACACCCGACUUUAGAUGUUAGGCUUUGGUGCGAUGUCUGUUUGGUAUUAGGCCCGGACAUAUUUGGCACGCCUUCAUCAAGGGGUCAGGAGUAGCAACAACGUUGCCAUGAUGGUGGCUUCUGGCUUAUUGAUGUAUCAUCUUGUAUGGUCUUUGUGAAUAAUUAAUAAUAUGGCUGCAUGCAUCGUCCAGAUGCAGAGGCCGGAGGUACAUCCUCCUUUUCUAAAAAAAAUAUUUACGAAGACCUACUGAAGAAGAUGUUCAACGUUUACUUCAUAUAGGAGAGGCUCGUGGAUUCUCUGGUAUGCUAGGAAGUAUUGAUUGCAUGCAUUGGGAGUGGAAAGAUUGCCCUGUCUCUUGGAAGGCGCAGUUCACUCGUGGUGAUUAUGGAGUAUCAACAAUCAUGCUAGAAGUUGUUGCCUCACAUGACCUAUGGAUAUGGCAUGCUUACUUUGGUGUUUCAGGCUGCAACAAUGAUAUCAAUGUGCGUAUCCAAUCCCCUGUAUUCACUCAAGUACUGCAAGGAAGGGCUCCACAAGUUAAGUUUGCAGUGAAUGGCAAUGAUUAUGAUAUGGGUUACUACCUAGCGGAUGGGAUUUAUCCUGAGUGGGCAACAUUUGUGAAGACAAUCCGCUUGCCCCCAACUGACAAGACAAAACUGUCUGCAAAGAUGCAAGAAGGUGCAAGAAAAGAUGUUGAACGUGCAUUUGGAGUUCUACAAUCUCGAUUUGCUAUUGUACGUGGUCCGGUCAAUCUUUGGUAUAGGCAAGAUAUUGCUGAUAUCAUGUAUGCAUGUGUUAUAUUGCAUAAUAUGAUAGUCGAGGAUGAGCGGAAUUCCUAUGAGGUUCGCUUCGACUAUGACUAUGAUCAGGGUACCUUUAACAACGAAAUAGAUAAUCUGAACCAUGGGCCAAUUCAUGAAUUUGCCAGAGUGCUGGAGAUAGGCUCAGCAAUUCGUGAUCGAGCUACACAUCGACAACUCAAAGGCGAUUUGGUAGAGUAUCUAUGGCAACGAUUCGGGGGUGGUCAGCCUUAGCUUGUAUUAGAGGCUCAACAAAUAAUUUGUAAUUUUAUUUCUAGACUUGUUCACCAUGUAUUCUGUAUGCUGCCACCAAAAUAUUUGUAUUGCUAGAUCUUUUAUCUUUUCUAAUGUUGAAAUAAGAAGCCAUAAUGGAGAGUUGUGAUAUUCCCUACUAUAUUCAGCACAAAAGCCACCGAAAUACAAAGUCACACACUCACGUACAGGGAACCCAUGAACAGCCACAUCUCACCUUCUGCUGCCGCGUGAACCCGCCCAUGCUCCAGAUCUGCGCCUAGUACUCGCACGGCGACAAAAUCGAGAAGCAGUAUAUGUGCUGUGCGAGCCGAAGGAAGAUCGUCGUCGCCGUCGGAGAGUGGCACGUGGACGGCGACAAAUGUACGAGCGGUUUGAUCAGCCAGGCGCUCGUGCCUGCCUCCACCAACCGGUUCAAGAGGAGUAGAAGACAGACAGUGAGUGCUCGUGUAGCUAUUUGGUCCUGGGCUGGCCGAUGAGUUCCCGCAGAGGUUCAACUGAAGGCUGGUCGCGCCUCAUUCUCAAUAUGUACAUAGAUCGUUUAUUUAUCCUAAAAAAACUUGAUUGUUUGUUUAUUUUUGAGUACUUGAUUUUUUCCUGUAAGAAUCAUUUUUUUCUGUAACAAAUACUAGAAAAAUUCAAAAAAAUUCAAUUUUUUUGGGUGGUAGAUAAUUUGAUGCGUGAGGUUCGCUGCAAAUUUCAACUCAUUUGGACAUUUGAGCAGCUCUCUGCAAAAAAGACAAAAUCGGGGUCUGUAAAAAAGUUUACUGUUCACGCACUGUUUUGACCCGAUAAUUUGAACGAAAAAACGCAUUUCUUUUGCUCCCACUAGACGCAGAAAUUUGUUUCUCGUGAAGCACAGAUUUGAUUCUGCGAGAGGCAGCCGUGCCUCUCAAAAAGGGGGAAAACGCAUUAUUUUUUUGCUUCAACAAGAGGCACAGGUUUGCUUUCGCAAGAGGCACGACUAUGCCUCUCUAAAAAGGAAAAAAACACGUUUUUUUGUUCCAUGAGAGACAUAGAUUUUGCCUCUCGGAAGUGAGAAAAAGUGUAUCCGGCUACCGGUUUUUUUCAAUCAGUUUUUUUAUGAAAAAAGUUCGUCGAACUAGUUUCGCAGAUCUCGAUGCUAGGAAAUCCGUGUAAGUGCAUCUAGUGCCCCUUAGUGAUUUUGGUGUAUUAAAGAUUUAUAGGUUAAGGGACUAAUGCAUUUGUGAGUGUACACAUGUCUAUAAGUCUAUGAGGAGUUUGAUAUUUACAUAGAAUGUCGACCUCUAAAAAUGACUGGCUUCAAGUGAAGAAAUUGAUGUGAUCCUGAAGACUUGAUGUUCAUGCGAGGAAAAUGAAGCGUGAAGACUUUUGUUUUCGUAGUUUCAUUUUCUCUUUCUUGAGUCAUAGGAAACACCAUACUAUUAAAGGGGGUCGAGGUAAAAUUAAGGAAAAGUUUCCAAGUGAUGCUCAACUCAAAGUUCUACACCUACAAUCCCUUCGAGUGAAGCCAUUGGAAAUCUCAUACAGUUCAGUCAAUUUCUUCAGUGACAGAGAUGAAGAUCUUCUGGUCUCUGAGUAAUUUGUUCUGAUUGAGGAGUUAGGAAUUCACCAGUGCGGAUUGCCUACAAGUGAGGAACAUGAUAGCCCUGAGGAAUUUGAGAGCUCAAAUUUCCGACCGUUGUUGUGCUACGCGCCAGCUGUCCUAAAAUAUCUACCCACCUAACGGUCAUAUCAUUGAAGGGCAUUUGUGUCUUAUCAUGUCGGGCUAGUCCCUAGGCUAUAAAUAGCCACCCCCUACAACCACUAGUUGGUUGGCUGCUCCGCGAGAAACUGACACUUGUCAUUGAGAGCAUCCCAUCCUCCGAGGACUUUGAGCGAAAAUCAUCAAGUGAGGAAAAACCCAAACACCUAGAAACCCAAAGUGAUUGAGCAUCACUGAAGAGAUUGUUCCUGUGUGGAACCGACGCUUGUUACCUUUGAGGACUGUGCAUCCUUCAGACGGUUAGGCGUCAUGGUCUAGAGCAUCCAAGAGGAAAUUGUGGAUCGCCGAGUGAUCAAGUCUGUGAAGGUUUGGAAGUCACCUGAAGACUUACCACGAGUGAUUGGACGAGGUCUGUGUGACCUUAGUUCAAGGAGAAUACGGUGAGGACUGUGUGUCCUCAGGUUUAAAUACCUAGUCGCUCCAACCAGACAUACGACUGUCACAGCAAUUGGAACUGGUUUACCAAAUCAUUGCCUUCACCGAGCUAACUGGUUCUAUCUCCUCAACCCUUUCAUUUCCUCAUUACUAUGUUGUGUACUUGAUCGCUGCUGUUUGAAGACUUUUGACUGAAGACUUUCUCAAUUUCUUCAGUCAGUUUGUCUUUAGCCUGCUUAUCCUGUGUUUGCGCUUUCUGUACUCUGUGCUAGUUUUCUUUUCAUCAUGAUGACUGUGCUUCUGUCAUGUUAUGCUUGCAUCUGAGUACUUAUUCCGCUGCUAGUAGUUAUUUGCUUAGGAAUUUCCUCACCCUGAAAUUCCUCAGUGAAGAAUUCAUAAAAAUCGCCUAUUAACCCCCUCCCUAGUCGACUUAACGCACUUUCAAUUGGUAUCAGAGCAAGGUACUCCCUUGUUCUGUGUGAUUUUGGUUUAACCGCCUAGAGUUUUAGUUAUGUCGAUCGCAGGUAUGAUCAAGGUCUCUGCUGGGUGUCCUACCUUCGAUGGGAUGGACUACCCCUACUGGAAGAAUAAGAUGCGAAUGCAUCUUGAGGCAAUUGACAACGAUCUCUGGUAUGUUAUGGAAAAUGGUGUUCCCUCUGUCACUCCCACCAUCAAUGCUGCUGACGUGAAGAGAUUCAAGAAACUCGACUCUCAAGCGAAGAAUAUCAUAUGUGGCCAUCUGUGCAAAGGACAGUAUAGCAGAGUGAGUGCUUUGGAGACAGCAAAGCUUAUCUGGGAUAGGUUGUCCAAGGCCAAUGAAGGAGUCUCAACACUGCGUGACUCUCGAGUUGAAGUUCUUCGCAAUCUCUUCAACCGCUUCAAAAGACUUGACAAUGAAAAUGUUUAGCAAACCUUCGAUCGCCUCACUGACAUUUCAAAUGAGCUUCAAGCACUUGGUGCCACUAACAUCACCGACCAUGAGGUGGUGAAGAAACUGCUGAGAUCGCUUGAUUCCUCAUUUGACACCCUUGUGCUGAUGAUACAAGAACGUGGAGACUACAAGUCACUUGAUCCCGCUGAUAUCCUUGAGAGGCUAAACACUCAUGAGUUCUAACUUGCUGAGAAAACAGAUCUCUAUGGAUCAAGCUAUGGCAGAACUCGCGUUUUGAAGGCCAAAGCAGUCUCUGAAUCUGAAGGUGAGGAUUCUGGUAGCAGCCUUGGUGAUCCUGAAAAACUGAGCCAGGAGCUAGCAAUGCUCGUGAGGAAAUUCCAGAAGUUCUCAAGACGUGGUCGCUUUGGUAAAUCCUCAAGAAAUGAUGACAUGAGAUCAGAUUCCUCAUCACGUGACUACAAGAAGAGACUUUGCCACAAAUGCAAGAAACCUGGUCAGUACAUUCAAGAUUGUCCUCAGUGGGAAAAGGAAUCAAAGAAGAAGAAGUACAAGGAUUACAGUUCUGAAGAUUCAAAGAAGAAGAAGAAAUCUUCAAAGUCCUCAUCAUCAAAAUCCUCGAAGUCUUCAUCUCACAAGAAGAGCAACUCCAAGAAGGCUCGGGCAUUCAUUUGCAUCUGAGGAAAAUGAGGAAGAGGAGGCAUCUGAGGAGUCAGAAUCUGGUGUGGCGAGCCUAGCCCUCGCUACUGCUUUCGUCAGCAAGUCUAUCUUCAAUUCUGAGGAGAAUGACCUCUCCAACACGGCUGAUGAUGAUAAUGACUAUGCUCCCACCUAUUACUUCAUGGCAAAGGGUUCUAAGGUACUCAAAUAUCCCUCCUCUGAAUCAAGUGAGGCUGAAUUUGAUGAAAACCUCAAGCCCAGCUACUCUAAACUUGCUAAGAUUGCUGUGAAACAACAAAAAGCUCUUGAAAAGGUUCAAAACAUGCUAGACAAGGGCGAUGAUAUGUUGGGUGAAGAAAUGGAUCGCACUAAAACUUUGACUGAAAAUCUUCAGAGACUUUAGUCCAAGUUUGGUAACCUUCGGAGUCAUCAUAACACUCUCUUAUCUGAUCAUGCGAAGCUUUCUUAUGAAUUUCUUCCAAGAAAGCAAGAUCUUGAGAAGCUAAGGGUGAGUUAUGAAGAUCUUCAGAAGGAGCAUGAUUCAUUACUUGCUCAACAAAUCAGCGCUGCUCAGGAAGAAUUCAUUCCUCCAUGUUUUAAGUGCAUUGAACGUGAAUCUGCUAAUUCUUCACCUGAAAGUUCAAAUGCUUCUAUUGCUGCAAAUUAUUCACAUGUCUCUGCUGUCACUAAUUCCUCAUCUGAGGAUGCUACUAGUAUCACUAACCAUGCAGGCCUGAAGGAAUUGUAUCUAACAGGCAUGUACAAAAGCCUCAAAGGGCAUCAGGCACUUUGUGAUGUGCUUGAAAAGCAGAUUCUCAAUAGGAACCCUAGGAAAGAGGGUAUUGCCUUUGAGAGGAAACUCAAUGCUGAUGGGACCUACUGGAAGCCUGAGCAGUAUCCCAAAACCUCAUGGGUUGCUGCAAAGGGACCUUCAGUAGAUCCAUCUACUUUAUCCGGCUUCACAUGUGAAUCUUCAUAUUCUUCUGAUGAGUCAUUUGACUUCAACUAUAAGUUGUUCAAAAAUCAGAAUGGUGAAGUAUUUGCUAGAUAUGUUGGCACUAAUUGCAGGAACGGUCCUCCUAUGAAGAAAAUCUGGGUUCCCAAAAGGUGCCUUGAAAGUCUUCAGGUGAAUGUCAUUAUGACACCACCUGUGAAGAAUAGGAACCCCAGAUCAAAUUCUUCAUAUGGACCAAAGUCUUCAUGUGGAUCAAGGUCCUUAUAUGAACAUCAUCGUGCUAACACUUCUGCUUCGCAGGGAAAGACUAAGGGUUAUGAAUAUGUGCAUUAUUCUUCAAAUCAUUAUGUUCAUAAGUCCUCGAAGAAUUUCUUUGCUUAUUCAUAUGCUUACCCUAACUCCUCUUAUGUGAAAUAGAGUGGAUUGGCAUCUAUGCCACCUUUCUCUUAUGGAGCUCGCAGAAUGAUGAACUCUUUGCCACCCCUCCAGAUGUGGGUGGUGAAGAAAAAGAACUAAUCUCUUAUGCAGGGUCAGGUCUCCAGACGAACGUAAACGUCUGAAGAAUUUGCUGGAGACCUGAAUAUGCUUGAGAGGACGCAAGCUAAUCAUGAAGAAAUGAUUUUUCAUUUCACACGUCCUCAUACUCCUAUAUCUGUUCUAUUGCUUGAUGAAAUUGAUCUGAUGAAUUUGAUGUCAUAUUCUUCACUGCUGAAGUAUAUGAGUUCGUAAGAUGCACUAUUUCAUCUGCAGGAUGAUCAACCCAAAGCCACUGAGUGGGUCAUCGAUAGUGGAUGUACAAAUCACAUGACUGAUAAUAGGAACUUAUUGAUGGACGCUCCCUUGUCUCCAUCGCAUCUGAGCAUAUCACCUACGCUGACAAUGGCAAAAGCAAGGUAUUGGGUCUAGGUAAGGUUGCGAUCUCAAAGGAUCGACACAUGGACAAAGUCAUGCUUGUCGAGUCCUUAGGAUUCAACCUCAUGUCAGUCUCAAUGCUUUCUGAUCUCGAUAUGGUUGUUGUCUUUCGCAAGUAUCGUUGUGUUGUGAUCAUUGAAGCUGACAAUUCCAAAGUCUUCGAAGGCUUUAGGAGAGGAGAUUUGUACAUUGUUGACUUCUCUACAGGACCGCAACCUACUACAUGCUUACUUGCUAAAGCUUCAGAAGGCUGGCUAUGGCAUCGACGACUUGGUCAUGUUGGCAUGAGAAACUUGCACACUCUUGCAAAGAAGAAGCAUGUCAUUGGCAUCGAGGGUGUCAAAUUCCUCAAGGACCAUCUGUGUGGAGCUUGUGAAGCUGGAAAGAUGACCAAGGCCAAGCAUCCCUCAAAGACCAUCAUGACUACCACUCAUCCAUUUGAAUUGCUUCACAUGGAUCUCUUUGGCCCUACUCAUUAUGCCACAUUCACUAAUGCUGCAUCUUUAUAUGGUUUGUCAUUGUUGAUGACUAUUCUCGUUACACAUGGGUGCAUAUCAUCACUUACAAAAACUGAAGUGCAGGAAGUUUUCAAACGAUUUUCCUCGAGGGCUUCAACCAACUUUGGUGUGAAGAUCAAGCACAUCAGAAGUGACAAUGGAACUGAGUUCAAGAAUACUGGUCUUGAUGAUUAUCUUGAUGAACUUGGUAUUACUCACGAGUUAUCUUCUCCUUAUACUCCUCAGCAGAAUGGCGUUGUGGAGCGCAAGAACAGGACUCUUGUUGAGAUGGCUCGCACUAUGCUUGAUGAAUACAAGACGCCUCCUCGCUUCUGGCCUGAGGCAAUUGAUACUGCGUGCCACAUCAUCAACAGGGUAUAUCUUCACAAAUUCUUCAAAAAGACCUCAUAUGAACUCCUCACUGACAAGAAACCCAAUGUUAGUUAUUUCAAAGUCUUCGGUGCUAAAUGUUGGAUUAGAGAUCCUCAUCACAAUUCUAAAUUUGCACCGAAAGCACAUGAAGGUUUUAUGCUUGGUUAUGGAAAGAACUCGCACACCUACAGAGUCUUCAACACCUAUCACCACAAGGUUGUUGAAACUGUAGAUGUGCGGUUCGAUGAAACUAAUGGCUCGCAAAAAGAGCACCUACCUCCUGUGCUAGACGAAAUACCACCUGAGGAAUCAAUAAAGUUUAAGGCUACUGAGGAUGUCAUUCCUACCGAAGAAUCUGCUGAAGAAGUCAUUCCAGAACGUGAAGAACAUCAUAAUGGUGCACCUAAGGAAAAUGGCUCUGAGGAAAAUGCUGAGCCACCUCAACGUCGUCAACCAGCCCACCCUCGCAUUGCAAAUGAAGUGCAGAUUGAGAGAAUCAUCAACGACAUCAAAGCACCAGGUCCUCUCACACGCUCAAAAGCUUCACAUUUGUCUAACUUUUGUGGGCACUUUGCUUUUGUCUCUAUCACAGAGCCCACUAAAGUAGAUGAAGCAUUUCUGGAGCCUGAGUGGAUUCAAGCUAUGCAAGAGGAAUUACAUCAGUUCGAGCUCAACAAUGUGUGGGUGCUAGUCAAGCGACCAGACCCACUCAAGCACAAUAUCAUCGGCACAAAAUGGAUCUACCACAACAAGCAAGAUGAAAAUGGCCUUGUGGUGAGGAAUAAGGCACAGCUUGUAGCUCAAGGCUACACACAGGUUGAAGGAAUUGAUUUCGAUGAAAAUUUUGCACCUGUUGCUAGACUUGAGGCUAUUCGCAUAUUACUUGCUUAUGCUAACCAUCAUAAUAUCAUCUUAUAUCAAAUGGAUGUGAAAAGUGCAUUCCUCAAUGGUAAGCUUGAGGAAGAAGUAUAUGUUGCUCAACCCCCAGGUUUUGAAAAUCCAAAGCAUCCUGACAAAGUCUUCAGAUUCAACAAGGCCCUCUAUGGCCUCAAGCAGGCCCCUCGGGCGUGGUAUGAUACUUUGAAGGAAUUCCUCAUGAAGAAAGGCUUCAAACCCAGUUCACUUGACCCAACUCUUUUCACCAAAACUUAUGAUGAUGAACUAUUCGUGUGCCAAAUAUAUGUUGAUGAUAUCAUCUUUGGCUGUACUGACCAACGUUACAGUGAUGAAUUUGCCUAUAUGAUGAGUGAAGAAUAUCAAAUGUCUGUGAUGGGAGAAUUGAAAUUCUUCUUAGGUCUUCAGAUAUGUCAACAACGCAGGGGCAUCUUCAUAUCUCAAGAGAAAUACCUCAAGGAUGUAUUGAGAAAAUUCGGCAUGCAAGAUUGCAAAGGAGUCAAAAUCCCUAUGCCCACAAAUGGCCAUCUAUCCACUAAUGAAAAUGGCAUUGACUUGGAUUAAAAGGUAUACCGCUCCAUGAUUGUCUCUUUAUUGUACCUAUGUGCAUCUAGGCCAGAUAUUAUGCUUAGUGUUUGCAUGUGUGCCCGUUUUCAAGCUACACCGAAGGAAUCACACCAUAAGGCUGUGAAGCAUAUUCUUCGAUAUCUAGCUCACACUCCAACACUUGGACUAUGGUAUCCCAAGGGCUCGGCUUUUGAUCUCAUUGGAUGUUCAGAUUCUGACUAUGCUGGUGAUCAUGUGGACCGCAAGUCAACAUCAGGCACAUGUCAUUUCCUCGGGCGAUCCUUGGUAUGUUGGUCCUCGAAGAAAUAGAACUGCGUAUCACUAUCAACUGCUGAAGCUGAGUACAUUGUUGUUGGUUCGUGCUGUGAUCAAUUGCUAUGGAUGAAGCAAACCCUCAAGGACUACGGCAUCAAUGUGAAGAAUGUGCCUCUCUACUGUGACAAUGAGAGUGCCAUCAAGAUUGCUCAUAACCCAGUUCAGCACUCGAAGACAAAGCACACUCAGAUUCGUCAUCAUUUUCUUCGUGAUCAUGUGUUGAAGGGCGACAUCUCUAUCGAGCACAUGAAGACUGAAGAACAGCUAGCCGAUAUUUUCACAAAGCCCUUGGAUGAGAAGAGAUUUAGCAAGUUGCGGUGUGAGCUAAAUAUCUUAGAAUCUUCGAAUGUCCUUUGAAAAGGACACACAUCCUAACACUUAUGCUAAAUUGAUGACUUAGAUGUGCAACACAUGAAGUAACCUUUUUCUUCAAUCAAUGAAGACUAACCCUCUAAGUGUGAAGAAAUUAACGAAGAAUUUGAUUCUUAGAGCCCUACGAUAAUUGUACGCGGCGUCUGAAAUCAUCAUUCUUAUACGGUGGGUUACGCCACCAACAAAAGUUGAAAAUCUUCAAUUUGAGUUUUUCUUCAGUUUUUGAAUUUCCUCAUUUGUUCAAUUUCUUCAACUUUGCAUAGUCUUUGCUCUUUCCGUUGUUCUUCAUUGACUAUAUAUAUUUGAGUUUUUGUCCUCUACAACAUUCACUUAUUGCUAAAUCUUCAAGUUACAUUUUCUGCUAAGUGAAUGUGAUCGGACCCUUCCCCCUCUAUGCUAAACCCAACCCAGUCUGUUCACAAAUUAUUUAUGUGUGUUCUAUUUGAAACCCGUUCAAAAUCUUCACUGUAUCCUUGUCAGCUAAAAAAUUUGCGAACAAAACAUUAAAAUUUUCAUAUAUCAAUUUUUCGGCUUUUGCCGCUCAAAUCAUUCUGCAUCCCACGAUAAGACUUAUCUAUUCACCCACGAUCUCCACCAUUCUGUACAUGUGUGACACAUGUCUCUACGAUGAGAAGGGUCAGGGGCACGCUCGUCCAAUUUCUUCAGGCGAGCAGUUUUUCACCUCGGCUAUAAAUACCCCUCACCCUCCUCAGACCGCAUUUACCCCGCUCGACCUCACUCCCUCGCUCGAGCUUCCAGACCUAGCGCCGCCGCUACAUUCAUCGUCGCCGGUGAGGAAGAGCUUCACUGCCUCGACCUCGUCGCCGUCGUACUCGCGCCGGCCGCGGAUUUCUUCACUCCGCCGCUGCCGUAGCUGUAUUCCUCUGCCAAGUUAGGGCGUGGAAGAUCUGGACUGACGAACUUCAAAUCUACCAUUCCCAGUUCGUCGUGUUCUUCGUCAAGGUUAAUUAAAAGCUACUUUUACCGCCCUUGUUGAUUCUAAUGAUUUCCACAAAUCUUCAAAAGGUGUUUAUUCUUCAACUUCUACACUUUAAACACCUCAAACAAGCAUCUAUUCUUGAUCUGUUUCUCUUAAGCAACAUUUUUCUUCAAGAUUCCUCAAUUGUGUGGAUUUUCAAUCUAUACAACUCUGGAACCUAAGUCAAAACGCUUAGUGAAAUUUCUCAAGACACCACUGGUCAAAUUCCUCAAACUUGUUCUUUUUGCAAAAACGUCUGAGAACGCAUAUGACCUCUCCAAAUCCUUCGCACAUAUACUAUGUUCACAGGUACUCAUGUCCGCUGCUGAAUCACUAGGUUCUCAUCAACUUAACUCAUUUGCAGCGUUCCUCGAAGAAAAAUUGCACACCUCUUCAGAGAACUCAAUUGUUGAAAACCCUCAGCUGAAGAAUAUGGCAGAUGGCAAGAAACCUCAGAAGGGAGGCAAGAGACUGGAAGUCAACACAGCAUUUGUGAUCCCUGAGGACAUUUAUGAAAAUAUUGUACUCCUGAUGAGGCCAAACAUGGCAAGGAGAACAAGAAUUAGCGCAAGGUGCGCAUUCAAAGGAUAGAGAGGAGAUGGGCACGGGAAUGGAGGGAGUACAGGUAUGUCACUCUAAAGUACAUGAAGAAAUUCGCUCUUCACCCUCCUUUCCCAAGACCUCCUUUGGCACCUGGGCAAGAAGCUAAUCCCACUAGCCUCAAGUGCGGUGAGGACUAUCCUGAUGAAUGGGCUAAACGGCAAGCCAAGCUAGCCAAAAUGGCUAAGGAAGCAGUGAGAAAAUUCAACGAAGACUCUGCUGCUGCCGCUGCUGAGGUCUCUGCAAGCAAGCCCAAGAAAUUGAUGCAAAAGAAGCCUGCACACAAACCAUCAAGUUCCUCAGCAAUGCCCUCACGGCCAAGCUCUUCAAUGCCCUCACGGCAAAUUCCUCAAGCUGCUUCAGUUCCUCCUGUUGCCAAGUCCUCUGCUCCUCCAGAAAAGUCCUCAGCACCUGUGCAUCUCGCCUCAUGUCAAAGGACCAAAGGCAUCUCAAUUGCCUCAGGAGCCUCUGCAAGUUCUUCAGCUGCUCCGCAAUCCUCAACUGGCCCCACUCUGCUGAAGACAAAGGCCACUGCUGGACGAGGCACUAGACCAAGUCCUCAUAAGAAGCAGGUUGCCUUUCAUGUACCGUCCAGUGAUGACGAAACUAAUGAUGAAGAACUUGAAGAAAUCAUUAGAGACAGACAACAAAGGGCCGCUAGAGCCAAAGACACAAAUGUGCCAUAGAUGUUGGAUCCAAAGCUGAUCCUUGACUUCAUUGAUCUCUGGCACAAGGACCCCAACACACCUAUGCCUGACUUCAAGCUCACUCCUGGCCAAAGUCACAUGCUGACCGCCUUCAUUAGUGAAGAAAAAUGGAAAUUUGAGAAGGCCUGACAGCUGAAGAAAGCUCAGUACAAGAAGGAGCGUUAUCUGAAGAAGAACGUUGUCACAAUGACAACUGAUGAACUUGUGACUGCAGAGGCUGAGAUCAAAUGACUCAGUGAUGAAUUUGAUGCCUAUCGUGCAGAUUGGCUUGGAGCCAAGGUCAGAUUUGUCAAACUGGCUAAAAGAAUCACCUCAAAUGUUGCUGCUCUAAUGCAACAUGAAUCUCCAAAGGUUGAAGCAUCUGCCCAGCCAACCGAAGAACAUGCCAGCACAACUGAUGAAAAUCAGGCUGCUGAUGAAAAUGAGAGUACCAGGGCUGAUGAAGCUAUUCCAGCCGCUGAUGAAAUUGCCAGGGCAACCACUAGUGUUGCGCCUGGAGAACAAGACAGGCCAGCUGAAGCAUCUGUCGCUGCGCCUGAAGAGACUAAAAAACCAAGGCAACUGCAUCAGUUGCGCCUGAGGUAACUGAACCAAUUUCCUCUGCUCCUCCUGCCCCAACGCCAAGUCCAGUUCUUCCUUCUGCUUCAGAAGCGAAGAAAACCAAGGCUGCGGAGCGAGCAACAAUGAAGAAAAGGAAAGCAUCUGCUUCAUCACAUUCUUCAGCACCAAAGAAGAUGAAGACAUUGACCAACUCUUUUGAGAAUCCCAUCGAUGCUAUUCCUGUCUCAAGUAUGCCAUCAAAGGAAAACAUUCCUUUUGGUGAAGAUUAUGAGAUCCCAAGCGGAUCUGAUGAAGAUGUUCCUUCUGCUGCUUCUUCAGAGCAGUUGGACGAAGAAAUUGAAGUGGAUGAUAUCCCUUCAACCCCAGUGGUCUCAUCGCCCAUGCCUCAGUUCACAGCUGAAGAGGCAGGCGUUGAAGAAUUGGAUGAUGAAGAAGAAGAUGUAGACAUUGGGUGCACCACUUCAGUGCUGAAUGAUGACUAUUGGGAAAGUCAUCACCCCAACUCUCCCAUGUUCACGCCACUGCAACAGAUUCCUCAGUCCCUAGUCCAGACUAAAGAAAUUCGUACAGACUCUGAUGAACCUCAAGCUUCACUUCUUACCAUCCCUGAAGAAAUUUCAGCCACUAGUGCUGAUGCUCAUGCUGCUGAAGAGAUGGAGACCCAGGCUGCCACUGAAGAUGUUGGCAAUGAAAUUCCUCAGCCUGCGGCUCCUGAGACGGUGAUUCCUGAGGCUGUGAAAACAUUGACUGAUACUCCUCAGCCCAAGCCGAAGAAUCCCUUCUCAAAGAAGCGGAAAUUCAAAGCAGAUGACUUCUUUCACGAGCAUGUGUUCUUCACUAACUAUACCCCUUAUGACUCUGCUCGUCUUCGGAGGAAGUGUUUCUGGACAGCAAGUCAGAUGAAUUUCUAUUCCUCUCUGCUUUUUGACAAAGACAAGAUCUUCGACCAUGAGCAUAUUCCUCAUGUUGACAUGGAAUCACUGCAUUGCUUCACCCCAGUCCUCAGUGUUCUUCAUGACGCUGGGCUGCUCAACUUCUGCACCGGCAUAUGUGAUUGGAAUGAAGAGCUAAUUCUUCAGUUCUACGCGACGCUGCACAUCACCGGCAAUGCUGAAGAUGUGAAUUCUUGGGUGUUGGACUAGAUGACAGAAAACAUGCACUAUAAAGCACCGGCCUCUGAAUUGCUUCAUGCCCUGCCUGUCAGUCCUCCCCUUGAAGGUGCACGUCUCAUCUAUCAUGAACCUGAGCUCUCUGAUCACUACAUGCAAGUUUUGAUGAAGCCUCUGAAGCCUGAUCAAGCCCCUCGGACCAAAUUCCUCGUGAAGGAAUUGCCGUAUGUGCCACGGACUGUCUAUCGCAUUUUUUACCAAGACCCUGAGUCCCAUCAAAGGCCACGAUUCUAAUGAAGAAGAAGUCGUUGGCAUCAUGAAGAAUUUGCUAUUCAACAUCAUCCAUGGCGUUCCUGUCAACUACCAUGAUUUCUUCAUGAGGACUCUGGCCAAUGUAGCUCUGUCACCGUUUGAACUGAAGUCUUACGCUCCCUGGAUCAUGAGAUUCAUCAGAUCAAGGUCUUCAAUUCAUUACAAGGCUGACUGUCAACGACAUCUCAGCUACUUGCCACCUAUUGAAGUCCUCAAGCGGACAUAUUCCUCAGCUGAUGAGAAGGGCAAGGCAACUGCGAUUAUUGAUGACGGCAUUCGUCCAUUGGAUGGUCAGUUCCGCAAAUCUGCAUCUUACUCCGCCAAUGAUGACUCUGCCACUCAUGACUCUACCGCCAAUGCUACAAAGCAAAAUCCUCAAGGCACAGCUCCAAGGGUGAUGACUGAUCAUGAGCUUCUCCUCAGUCUUCAGCAGAAGGUCGAUCGCAACCAUAAGUGGGUCAAGAGACAGUUUGGUUCAAUUCUUCAUAACAUGACCAUCACUCAGAAUCACUGAAGAAGAACCAUUACUACCUCCAUGAAGUAUUUGAUCGCACCUGGGCUAUUCUGUCUCAUCUCUACGGUGAAGAAGAUCUAAAACAGAUGGGCUUCAAGCAGGACUUUGACUGGUCUCAGCCACCUUCAAAGAAAUUCAAGAAGGUCAAAGUUUCUCACUUGGUGGCUAGAUCCUAUUCUUCAUCACGCGAGACUGAUGAAAAUGAAGACUUGAACGACACUGCGGCAGGCCCUACUUCAACAACCGACCCCAACAAUGCUGGCGCUGCUCCAUCGACUUCAUAAUGUUAUUUCUUCAGGGGCGUUAGUCCUCAUUUUUCGUACCUUUUGGUCAUCCGAUAACAAAGGGGGAGAAAUUUGAGUUAGUCUUCAAGCGGGUCUAUAUAUGGGUGUUUUUUUUGCUAAGUUACAACUCUCGUUCUUUUGAAAACUUUGUUGGAUCGAGUUGUAAUCUUAAACCCGGUGGUGGUCUGAUACUUCUGCUAUGUUCUUCUGCAUGCUAUUUCCUCAUAUAUGUUAAAUGCACGCAUGAUGAAUUACAUCAGUCACCAUAUUUCAUCAUGCAUUUCAAAUUCUUCAUAUCAUAUGUUAAAUGCGUGUAUGAAUUAGAAGAUAUAGGGGGAGAUCUCCAUGAUUCUACUCUUCAAUGUGCAUUGCUUCAAAAGCAAAUUCCUCUCAUAUGCACAUCUUCAGGGGGAGUUCUUCUAUAUCUUGCAAUCAAAUUCCUCAAUAUCAGCAUUUACACUUCAUAUGUUUAUCCCCGUUGAAAACUUAACCUAUAUUGUCAUCAAUCAUCAAAAAGGGGGAGAUUGUAAGUGCAUCUAAUGCCCCUUAGUGAUUUUGGUGUAUUGAAGACUUAUAGGUUAAGGGACUAAUGCGUUUCUGAGUGUACACAGGUCUAUAAGUCUAUGAGGAGUUUAAUAUUUACAGAGAAAGUCAACCCCUAAAAAUGAAUGUCUUCAACUGAAGACUUUGGCUUUCUGAAGACUUUGAAAGUGAAGAAAUUGGUGUGAUCCUGAAGACUUGAUAUUCAUGCGAGGAACAUGAAGCGUGAAGACUUUUGUUUUCGUAGUUUCAUUUUCUCUUUCUUGAGUCAUAGGAAACACCGUACUGUUAAAGGAGGUCCAGGUAAAACUAAGGAAAAGUUUCCAAGUGAUGCUCAACUCAAAUUCCUACACCUACCAAUCCCUUCGAGUAAAGCCACUGGAAAUCUCAUACAGUUUAGUCAAUUUCUUCAGUGACAGAGACGAAGAUCUUCUAGUCUCUGAGAAAUUUGUUCUGACUGAGGAGUUAGGAAUUCGCUAGUGUGGAUUGCCUACAAGUGAGGAACAUGAUAGCCCUGAGGAAUUUGAGAGCUCAAAUUUGCGACCGUUGCUGUGCUACGUGCCGGCUGUCCCAAAAUAUCUACCCACCUAACGGUCAUAUCAUUGAAGGGCAUUUGUGUCUUAUCAUGCCGGGCUGCUCCCUAGGCUAUAAAUAGCCACCACCUACAACCACUAGUUGGUUGGCUGCUCCGCGAGAAACUGACACUUGUCAUUGAGAGCAUCCCAUCCUCCGAGGACUUUGAGCGAAAAUCAUCAAGUGAGGAAAAACCCAAACACCCAAACCAAACACCUAGAAACCCAAAGUGAAUGAGCAUCACUGAAGUGAUUGUUCCUGUGUGGAACCGACGCUUGUUACCUUUGAGGACUGUGCAUCCUUCAGACGGUUAGGCGUCAUGGUCUAGAGCAUCCAAGAGGAAAUUGUGGAUCGUCGACUGACCAAGUCUGUGAAGGUUUGGAAGUCACCUGAAGACUUACCACGAGUGAUUGGACGAGGUCUGUGUGACCUUAGUUCAAGGAUAAUAUGGUGAGGACUGUGUGUCCGGGACUGUUGAUAACCCACAAGUAUAGGGGAUCGCAACAGUUUUCGAGGGUAGAGUAUUCAACCCAAAUUUAUUGAUUCGACACAAGGGGAGCCAAAGAAUAUUCUCAAGUAUUAGCAUUUGAGUUGUCAAUUCAACCACACCUGGAUAACUUAAUAUCUGCAGCAAAGUAUUUAGUAGCAAAGUAGUAUGAUAGUAGUGGUAACGGUAGCAAAAGUAACAGUGAUAGUUUUGUAGUGAUUGUAAUAGUAGCAACGGAAAAGUAAAUAAGCGAAGAACAAUAUGUGAAAAGCUCUUAGGCAUUGGAUCGGUGAAGGAGAAUUAUGCCGGAUGCGAUUAUUCAUGCAACAGUUAUAACAUAGGGUGACACAGAACUAGCUCCAAUUCAUCAAUGUAAUGUAGGCAUGUAUUCCGAAUAUAGUCAUACGUGCUUAUGGAAAAGAACUUGCAUGACAUCUUUUGUCCUACCCUCCCGUGGCAGCGGGGUCCUAGCGGAAACUAAGGGAUAUUAAGGCAUCCCUUUAAUAGAGUACCGGACCAAAGCCUUAACACAUAGUGAAUACAUGAACUCCUCAAACUAUGGUCAUCACCGGGGGUGGUCCCGAUUAUUGUCACUUCGGGGUUGCCGGAUCAUAACACAUAGUAGGUGACUAUAGACUUGCAAGAUAGGAUCAAGAAAUCACAUAUAUUCAUGAAAACAUAAUAGGUUCAGAUCUGAAAUCAUGGCACUCGGGCCCUAGUGACAAGCAUUAAGUAUAGCAAAGUCAUAGCAACAUCAAUCUCAGAACAUAGUGGAUACUAGGGAUCAAACCCUAACAAAACUAACUCGAUUACAUGAUAAAUCUCAUCCAACCCAUCACCGUCCAGCAAGCCUACGAUGGAAUUACUCACGCACGGCGCUGAGCAUCAUGAAAUUGGUGAUGGAGGAUGGUUGAUGAUGAUGAUGGCGACGGAUUCCCCUCUCCGGAGCCCCGAACGGACUCCAGAUCAGCCCUCCUGAGAGAGUUUAGGGCUUGGCAGCGGCUUCGUAUCGUAAAACGCGAUGAAUCCUUCUCUCUUAUUUUUUCUCCCCGAACACGAAUAUAUAGAGUUGGAGUUGAGGUCAGUGGAGCUCCAGGGGGCCCAUGAGGCAGGGGGCGCGCCCCACCCUCGUGGACAGGGUGUGGGCCCCCUGGCCUUGAUUCUUUCGCCAGUAUUUUUUAUUAUUUCCAAAAAUAAUCUCCGUGAAGUUUCAGGUCAUUCCGAGAACUUUUAUUUCUGCAUAAAGAUAACACCAUGGCAAUUCUGCUGAAAACAGCGUCAGUCCGGGUUAGUUCCAUUCAAAUCAUGCAGGUUAGAGUCCAAAACAAGGGCAAAAGUGUUUGGAAAAGUAGAUACGACGGAGACAUAUCAACUCCCCCAAGCUUAAACCUUUGCUUGUCCUCAAGCAAUUCAGUUGAUAAACUGAAAGUGAUAAAGAAAAACUUUUACAAACUCUGUUUGCUCUUGUUGUUGCAAAUAUGUAAAGUCAGCAUUCAAGUUUUCAGCAAAGAUUAUGACUAACCAUAUUCACAAUAACACUUAGGUCUCAUGUUUACUCAUAUCAAUGGCAUAAUCAACUAGCGAGCAAUAAUAAUAAAUCUCGGAUGACAACACUUUCUCAAAACAAUCAUAAUAUGAUAUAACAAGAUGGUAUCUCACUAGCCCUUUCUGAGACCGCAAAACAUAAAUGCAGAGCACCUUUAAAGAUCAAGGACUAACUAGACAUUGUAAUUCAUGGUAAAAGAGAUCCAAUCAUAGUCAUACCCAAUAUAAAUUAAUGGUAAUGGAUGCAAAUGACAGCGGUGCUCUCCAGCUGGUGCUUUUUAAUAAGAGGGUGAUGACUCAACAUAAAAGUAAAUGGAUUGGCCCUUCGCAGAGGGAAGCAGGGAUUUGUAGAGGUGCCAGAGCUCGAUUUUAAAGCAGAGAUAAAUAAUAUUUUGAGUGGCAUACUUUCAUUGUCAACAUAACAACCGAGAGAUGGCGAUAUCUUCCAUGCUAGACACAUUAUAGGCGGUUCCCAAACAGAAUGGUAAAGUUUUUACUCCCCCUCCACCAACAAGCAUCAAUCCAUGGCUUGCUCGAAACAACAAGUGCCUCCAACUAACAACAGUCCCGGGGGAGUUUUGUUUGCAAUUAUUUUGAUUUGAUUUACAUAAAGCAAUGGGACUGGGCAUCCCGGUGACCAGCCAUUUUCUCAUGAGUGAGGAGCGGAGUCCACUCCUCUUGAGAAUAACCCGCCUAACAUGGAAGAUACGGACAACCCUAGUUGAUACAUGAGCUAUUCGAGCAUACAAAACAUAAUUUCAUUUGAAGGUUUAGAGUUUGGCACAUACAAAUUUACUUGGAACGGCAGGUAGAUACCGCAUAUAGGAAGGUAUAGUGGACUCAUAUGGAAUAACUUUGGGGUUUAAGGGAUUGGAUGCACAAGCAGUAUUCCCGCUUAGUACAAGUGAAGGCUAGCAAAAGACUGGGAAACGACCAACUAGAGAGCGACAACAGUCAUGAACAUGCAUUAAAAUUAAUAAACAUUGAGUGCAAGCAUGAGUAGGAUAUAAUCCACCAUGAACAUAAAUAUCAUGAAGGCUAUGUCGAUUUGUUUCAACUACAUGUGUGAACAUGUGCCAAGUCAAGUCACUUGAAUCGUUCAAGGAGGAUACCGCCCUAUCAUACCACAUCACAACCAUUUUAAUAGCAUGUUGGCACGCAAGGUAAACCAUUAUAAACUCCUAGCUAAUUAAGCAUGGCAUAAGCAACUAUAAUCUUUAAUUAUCAUUGCAAACAUGUUCAUUCAUAAUAGACUGAAUCAGGAAUGAUGAACUAAUCAUAUUUACAAAAACAAGAGAGGUCGAGUUCAUACCAGCUUCUCUCAUCUCAAUCAGUCCAUCAUAUAUCAUCAUAAUUGCCUUUCACUUGCACGACCGAAUGAUGUGAAUAAUAAUAAUAGUGCACGUGCAUUGGACUAAGCUGGAAUCUGCGAGCAUUCAAUAAACAGAAGAAGACAAGGCAAUAUGGGCUCUCGGUUAAAUCAACAAUAAUGCAUAUAAGAGCCACUUCAACAUUUUAAUUAUGGUCUUCUCCUCUCGACCCCCAAAGAAAAAGAAAGGAAAUAAAACUAUUUACACAGGAAAGCUCCCAACAAGCAAAAGAAGAAUGGGAAAUCUUUUUGAGUUUUCUUUUAGUUAUUACUAAUACAGCAAGGAAGUAAACUAGCUAAAAGCUACUACUAAUUUUUUUAUUUUUCUUAAGGUUUUUCAAACACACAAGAAGAAAGCGUAAAAAGGAAAAUAAACUAGCAUGGAUAUUACAGUGAAAAAUUAUGAACACCGACAACUAGCAAUGAGUGUGUGAACAUAAAUGUAAUGUCGGUGAGAAAUACGUACUCCCCCAAGCUUAGGCUUUUGGCCUAAGUCGGUCUAUGGCCACGGCUGGCCUGGCGGAUAUCCAAAGUUGUAGCUAGGGUCGUACUGAGAUGAAGCCUCGGGUUGCCACUGGUUGGCAACCUCCUCCGGAUCCCACUGUUAAACAGACUGGCGUGGGGGAACAAAUUGUGGUUCCGGAUCUGGCUCUGUAGCUGAUGUAGGGUUCCGGUAGACGUGAAUGGCCUCAAACGGAACAAGGUACUCGCCUGCAGAUAAAUCAAACAAGGAAGGAGCAGGCAAGGUAAUAGUCUCAGGGUGAUUUUUAUCAAAUAACAAUCUAUAGUUAAGCUCCUUUUUCCUGUUCUUAACAAUGAAAUCAUGUGCAACCAUACUCUUGUAAUCUAGAAGAACAGUAUGCAACAAUUUUCUUCUUUCUCAUAAUGCCUAAUAGGUAUGUUGUAGUAUGCAGCGAGGCGCGAGGCGAAGAUGCCUCCCAAGAUGGGGCCCUUAGUACGGUUAAGAUUUAACCGCUUUGCAACAAUAGCGCCCAUACUAAAUGAGUCAUCACGAAACAAGGCAUGGUGCAAAAUAACAAUAUCAGGGGCACUUAGGUUGCCACAGUUUCCGCGACCAAUUAAGCAUCUACUAGCAAAUAAUGCAAAGUAACGUAAAACAGGAAAAUGUAUGCUAGUAAUUCUUGCAUCGGAAACUUUCCUAGUUUCCCCCACAGUAAUUGUAUCAAUAAACCCCUCCACAUCGUCGCGAUGUGGUUCCUCUACUCUGCCCGUAAAAGGCAACUUGCAAACCUCACAAAAUUCAGAGAGGGGCAUCUCCUUAUACUCAUCAUAUAAAUAAAAAUCCACCAAAGGUGGUGACCUCCUAGAAUGGAAAUGAAAAUUUUGCACAAAGAUAUUGGUGAGUAAGAGAUAUUGUUCGCGUUGGUCGCGGAGGAAGUCGGUGAGGCCUGCAUUAUCAGCCAACUCAUAAAAAUCAUCAUAUAUCCCGGCUGCUCUCAAGAAAUCAUCACAAGGCCAUUCACACGGCCAAACUUCCGUGACGCGAGGGAGAUUAUAUUUGGGUAUCUCUUCUUCUUCACUUUGUUUAUCCUUCGAGCUUCGGCUCGAAGAACCCCUCAAAAAUCUCUUCAUCAUUUUCUGAAAAUUUCUGAAAUUUUUAGUAACUUCAAAUAAAAGUGAACAAAACUCAACAAAAUUGAUAGCAACUACUCCCACAAGUGCUUAGAGACUAAAUCAUGCAUUAGAACUACUUGGAACGAUAUAAAUUUGACAUGCAAGCUCAAGAACAUGGUCACCUAGGCAGCAAAAAAUUGCAAUGAAUAAAGCACUAGAACAAAAACUAAUUGGACCAUUGGAGGAGUCACAUACCAAGGAACAAUCUCCCAAAGCAGUUUUGUGAGAGGUGCUUUGAGCUAGGAGAUCAAAAAUCGCAGCAAAAUGAGCUAGAACUCAUGCUUGAGCUGGUUGGUGAUUUUUUUUGGAGGAAGAAGAAGUGUCUGGUGGCUGGAAUAAGUGGAGGGGAGCCACCGUGGGCCCACGAGGCAGGGGGCGCGCCCUAGACCCUCGUGGCCAGGUGCUUGCUCCCCCUGCUGUGUUCUCAGUGCCAGAUAUUCUCAAAUAUUCCAGAAAAAAAUCAUAUUUCUAUUUCGGGGCAUUUGGAGAACUUUUAUUUUCGGGGUAUUUUUUAUUGCACGGAUAAUUCAGAAAACUAACAGAAAAUACUAUUUUUGCUUUAUUUAUUCUAAAUAACGGAAAGUAAAAGGAGGGUACAAAGAGUUGUGCUUUCUAACUUCAUCCAUCUCAUGCUCAUCAAAAGGAAUCCACUAACAAGGUUGAUCAGGUCUUGUUAACAAACUCAUUCCGAAUCGCAUGAAACCGGAGAAAUUUCAAAUAACACUAAGUUACCUCAACGGGGAUAUACACAUCCCCAAUAAUAAGAAUAUCAUAUUUCUCUUGAUAGUAGGAAGAGGGAAUUCAAAACCUCCAAUAAUAAUCGAUGGAAUUUUUCCAAUAGAGUUUAUACUAUGAACUUGAAGUUGUUUCCUCGGAAAGUGUACCGUAUGCUCAUUACCAUUAACAUGAAAAGUGACAUUGCCUUUGUUGCAAUCAAUAACAGCCCCUGCAGUAUUCAAAAAGGGUCUUUCAAGAAUAAUAGACAUACUAUCAUCCUCGGGAACAUCAAGAAUAACAAAGUCCGUUAAAAUAGUAACGUUUGCAACCACAACAGGCACAUCCUCACAAAUACUGACAGGUAUAGCAGUUGAUUUAUCGGCCAUUUGCAAAGAUAUUUCAGUAGGUGUCAACUUAUUCAAAUCAAGUCUACGAUAUAAAGAGAGAGGCAUAACACUAACACUGGCUCCAAGAUCACAUAAAGCAGUUCUAACAUAGUUUCUUUUAAUGGAGCAUGGUAUAGUGGGUACUCCUGGAUCUCCAAGUUUCUUUGGUAUUCCACCCUUGAAAGUAUAAUUAACAAGCAUGGUGGAAAUUUCAGCUUCUGUUAUCUUUCUCUUAUUAGUAACAAUAUCUUUCAUAUACUUAGCAUAAGGAUUCAUUUUGAGCAUAUCAGUUAAACGCAUACGCAAGAAGAUAGGUCUAAUCAUUUCAGCAAAGCGCUCAAAAUCCUCAUCAUCCUUUUUCUUGGAUGGUUUGGGAGGAAAAGGCAUGGGUUUCUGAACCCAUGGCUCUCUUUCUUUGCCAUGCUUCCUAGCAACAAAGUCUCUCUUAUCAUAGCGUUGAUUCUUUGAUUGUGGGUUAUCAAGAUCAACAGCAGGUUCAAUUUCUACAUCAUUGUUAUUACUAGGUUGAGCAUCAACAUAAACAUCAUCAUUAACAUUAUCACUAGGUUCAUGUUCAUUACCAGAUUGUGUUUCAGAAUCAGAAAUAGAAAUAUCAUUGGGAUUCUCAGGUGUGUCAACAACAGGUUCACUAGAAGCAUGCAAAGUCCUAUCAUUUUUCUUUUUCUUCUUUUUAGAAGGACUAGGUGCAUCUACAUUAGUUCUCUGAGAAUCAUGCUCAAUUCUCUUGGGGUGACCUUCAGGAUACAAAGGUUCCUGAGUCACUUUACCCCUCUAGUUGCAACUCUAACAGCAAAGUCAUUAUUCUUACUAUCUAAUUCAUUGAGCAAAUCAUUCUGAGCUUUAAGUACUUGUUCUACUUGACUGGUAACCAUAGAAGCAUGUUUACUAAUGAGUUUAAGUUCACCUUUAACUCUAGACAUAUAAUCACUCAAGUGUUCAAGCAUAUCAGAAUUGUGUUUCAAUUGUCUACCAACAUAAGCAUUGAUGUUUUCUUGUUUGACAAUAAAAUUAUCAAACUCAUCUAGGCAUUGGCUAGCAGACUUAUAACGAGGAAUAUCAACUUCAUCAAAUCUAUAGAGAGAAUUUACCUUUACUACCUGUGUCGGGUUAUCAAGACCAUGUAUUUCUUCAACAGGUGGUAAAUUAAGACCAUGUGUUUCUUCAAUAGGAGGUAAAUUCUUAACAUCUUCAGCUUUUAUACCUUUUUCUUUCAUAGAUUUCUUUGCCUCUUGCAUAUCUUAAGGACUGAGAAAUAGAACACCCCUUCUCCUCGGAGUUGGCUUGGGAGUUGGUUCAGGAAGUGUCCAAUUAUUUUCAUUUGUCAACAUAUUAUUCAAUAGAAUUUCAGCUUCAUCGACAGUUCUUUCCCUGAAAACACAACCAGCACAACUAACCAGCUGGUCUCUGGAAGCAUCGGUUAGUCCAUUAUAAAAAAUAUCAAGUAUUUCAUUUUUCUUAAGAGGAUGAUCAGGCAAAGCAUUAAGUAAUUGGAGAAGCCUCCCCCAAGCUUGUGGGAGACUCUCUUCUUCAAUUUGCACAAAAUUAUAUAUUUCCCUUAAAGCAGCUUGUUUCUUAUGAGUAGGGAAAUAUUUAGCAGAGAAGUAAUAAAUCAUAUCCUGGGGACUACGCACACAACCAGGAUCAAGAGAAUUAAACCAUAUCUUAGCAUCACCCUUUAAUGAGAACGGAAAUAUCUUAAGGAUAUAAUAGUAGCGAGUUUUCUCGUCAUUAGUGAACAGGGUGGCUAUAUCAUUUAAUUUAGUAAGAUGUGCCACAACAGUUUCAGAUUCAUAGCCAUAGAAAGGAUCACAUUCAACCAAAGUAAUUAUAUCAGGGUCGACAGAGAAUUCAUAAUCCUUAUCAGUAACAAAGAUAGGUGAAGUUAGCAGGAUCAUGUUUCAUUCUAGCAUUUAGAGAUUUUUGUUUCAGCUUAGCUAAUAAUUUCUUAAGAUCACUCCUAUCAUUGCAAGCAAGAAAGUCUCUAGCAGUUUCUUCAUCCAUAACAUAGCCCUCAGGCACAACAGGCAAUUCAUAUCUAGGGGGAGAAUCUUCAUCGUCACUUUCAUCAAUAUUAUCAGUUUCAAUAAUUUCAUUCUCUCUAGCCCUAGCAAGUUGUUCAUCAAGAAAUUCACCAAGUGGCACAGUAGUAUCAAGCAUAGAAGUAGUUUCAUCGUAAGUAUCAUGCAUAGCAGAAGUGGCAUCAUCAAUAACAUGCGACAUAUCAGAAUUAAUAGCAGAAGCAGGUUUAGGUGUCGCAAGCUUACUCAAUACAGAAGGUGAAUCAAGUGCAGAGCUAGAUGGCAGUUCCUUACCUCCCCUCGUAGUUGAGGGAUAAAUUUUAGUUUUCUCAUCUUUCAAGUUCCUCAUAGUGACCAGCACAUAUAAAUCCCAAGUGACUCAAGGAAAGUAUAGGGGAUCGCAACAGUUUUCGAGGGUAGAGUAUUCAACCCAAAUUUAUUGAUUCGACACAAGGGGAGCCAAAGAAUAUUCUCAAGUAUUAGCAGUUGAGUUGUCAAUUCAACCACACCUGGAUAACUUAAUAUCUGCAGCAAAGUAGUAUGAUAGUAGUGGUAACGGUAGCAAAAGUAACAGUGAUAGUUUUGUAGUGAUUGUAACAGUAGCAACGGAAAAGUAAAUAAGCGAAGAACAAUAUGUGAAAAGCUCAUAGGCAUUGGAUCGGUGAUGGAGAAUUAUGUCGGAUGUGAUUAUCCAUGCAACAGUUAUAACAUAGGGUGACACAGAACUAGCUCCAAUUCAUCAAUGUAAUGUAGGCAUGUAUUCCGAAUAUAGUCAUACGUGCUUAUGGAAAAGAACUUGCAUGACAUCUUUUGUCCUACCCUCCCAUGGCAGCGGGGUCCUAGCGGAAACUAAGGGAUAUUAAGGCAUCCCUUUAAUAGAGUACCGGACCAAAGCCUUAACACAUAGUGAAUACAUGAACUCCUCAAACUAUGGUCAUCACCGGGGGUGGUCCCGAUUAUUGUCACUUCGGGGUUGCCGGAUCAUAACACAUAGUAGGUGACUAUAGACUUGCAAGAUAGGAUCAAGAAAUCACAUAUAUUCAUGAAAACAUAAUAGGUUCAGAUCUGAAAUCAUGGCACUCAGGCCCUAGUGACAAGCAUUAAGCAUAGCAAAGUCAUAGCAACAUCAAUCUCAGAACAUAGUGGAUACUAGGGAUCAAACCCUAACAAAACUAACUCGAUUACAUGAUAAAUCUCAUCCAACCCAUCACCGUCCAGCAAGCCUACGAUGGAAUUACUCACGCACGGCGCUGAGCAUCAUGAAAUUGGUGAUGGAGGAUGGUUGAUGAUGAUGAUGGCGACGGAUUCCCCUCUCCGGAGCCCCGAACGGACUCCAGAUCAGCCCUCCUGAGAGAGUUUAGGGCUUGGCAGCGGCUUCGUAUCGUAAAACGCGAUGAAUCCUUCUCUCUUAUUUUUUCUCCCCGAACACGAAUAUAUAGAGUUGGAGUUGAGGUCGGUGGAGCUCCAGGGGGCCCACGAGGCAGGGGGCGCGCGGGGCAGGCGCGCCCCCCACCCUCGUAGACAGGGUGUGGACCCCCUGGCCUUGAUUCUUUCGCCAGUAUUUUUAUUAUUUCCAAAAAUAAUCUCCGUGAAGUUUCAGGUCAUUCCGAGAACUUUUGUUUCUGUACAAAGAUAACACCAUGGCAAUUCUGCUGAAAAUAGCGUCAGUCCGGGUUAGUUCCAUUCAAAUCAUGCAGGUUAGAGUCCAAAACAAGGGAAAAAGUGUUUGAAAAAGUAGAUACGACGGAGACGUAUCAACUUUGUGUCCUCAGGUUUAAAUACCUAGUCGCUCCAACCAGACGUACGACUGUCACAGCAGUUGGAACCGGUCUACAUAAUCAUUGUCUUCACCGAGCUAACUGGUUCUAUCUCCUCAACCCUUUCAUUUCCUCAUUACUGUGUUGUGUACUUGAUCGGUACUGUUUCAAGACAUUUGACUGAAGACUUUCUCAAUUUCUCAGUUCAAUUUCUUCAGUCAGUUUGUCUUCAGCCUUUUUAUCCUGUGUUUACGCUUUCUGUACUCUGUGCUAGUUUUCUUUUCAUCAUGAUGACUGCGCUUCUGUCAUGUUAUGCUUGCACCUGAGUACUUAUUCCGCUGCUAGUAGUUCUUUACUUAGAAAUUUCCUCACCCUGAAAUUCCUCAGUGAAGAAUUCAUAAAAAUCGCCUAUUCACCCCAUCUAGUCGACUUAACGCACUUUCAAUCCGACUGUGAAAAUGUUUUGGGAUUUUGACAAAUGGAUCUACAAAAAAGAGAAAAACUCCUAGGUUGCCACUUGUGAUCCCCUGAAGAGGUGGGAGAGACCUUUGCAUGCAGUACCACUUAAAUAGUGAUUUCAGUCAGACGGGUGAGCCAACGGACACGGGCAAGUGCGCCAGGCCAGCCUAGUAAGAGGUUUGAUGUAGCGUCAUCGCACUGUAUAAAAUACGGAUUACUGUAGUGUGAAUCAAUAGCUUUCUGUCUGGCCUAGUAAAUGUUUGCGACCUAGUUUUUCAGUGUUUUUUGUAAUUUUUCUUCACAUUAUCCAAAUGUUGUUCAGAAUUUUAAAAAAUUGCCCUCCUUUUAAAAAACAUCAGAAAUUCAGAAAAGUUCAUGUUUUAGAAAAUGUUCAGUAUUUUCAAAUAAUAUUCAUGUUAUCAAAAUUUAGUCACGAUUCCAGAAAAUGUUUCUGUUUCGAAUUAGUUUAAUAUAUUCAAAUGUGUUCUUGUCUCCGAAAAAAAUCAGGCAACUUAAUAAAAUGUUCUUUUUUUCCAAAAAAAUAGAAUUUUCUAAAAUGUUUCCUUUUUCAAGAUUUUCUCACCAUUAAAACAAAUCUGCUUGCACAAAAUUUUGUUCUGGUAUUUCAAAUUUUGUUCAUUUUUCUAGAUUUCAAAAUUUUGUUCUGGUAUUUCUAAAAAAAUUCCUGUUUCAAUUUUUUUCUCAAAUCAAAAAUUGUUUCUGUUUCUCUUUUUUCAGAAUUUCAAAUUUAUUACCAUUUUGGAAAAUUGUUCACAGGGGUCAAAAAAUGUUUGUAAUUUCAAAGAAAUCUGUUUUUCGUAAAUUUAUUCAAAAUUUUGGAAAAUUUCAAGUUUCAUAAAACAUAAAAAUAAAAUAAAAGCCAUGUUCGAAUUUUUCAAAAGAUGUUCAAAUCCAUCAACACUUAUAAUUUGAAAAGGUCUGAGCCGCUCGUUUGAUCACAAAAAUUUAGUUGUUUCAGUGGCUAGGCACGCAGUUUGGAGCAAGAGGUCUUGCGAAUCCCUCUUUACACGCACUGUUUUGUGAUUUUUUGUUUGUACAGCGCCAGAAAAUAGAUCUGCCUAGCAAAUCUAUUUAUGUGUGCCUUGCGAGUGUAUUUGCCGCAAAGAGCGGUAGAUAGGAGGUCCCGGCUGCCGCGCCUGAAGCAAGCACGAAACUAGACCAGCCCAGCCUGCGGGAGGGCACAGGCCUCAAAAGCACUUGUUUUUUCUGGUACUUCUUCUAUCAUAAUAUUUUUAUUUUUCAUUUUGUGCAUGUAAUUAAUUUUUUAAAUGUGUAUAAAAAAUGUUUCCAAUGUACACAAAAAAUAUACGAGGUGUAUAGAGGAAACAGACAUGAAAACUAUUAAUAAUGUAUCUGGAAAAAGUUAAACUUGUAUUAAAAAAAUGUUCUUGGUGUGUUAAAAAAAGUACAAUAUGUAAGAAAAAGUAAUAAAUUAAAAAUUAUAUGCUGAAUAAAAUGUUAAUCAAGUGUUUGUAAAUUUUUAAACAUAAGUUCCUGAUGUAUACGAAAAUGUGCAAUGUUUAUUGAAAAAGGAGACAUAAAAAACUUAUGUUUUCAAAAAUAUUAACCAUGUAUUUUCAAAAUGAUAAAUGUGUAUAUAAAAAUGUUCCGGAGGUAAAAAAUACAAUGUGUAUGAGAGAAAUAGACAACAAAAUAUACAAGUUUUGUAAAUGUUCAUCAUGUAUUUGAGCUUGUAUAUAAAAAUAUUACCGGUGUAUACAAAAGUUGUACAAAGAAAAACAAAGAAAACCAAUUUAAAUUAAAAAAAUGAAGAAAAAUUGAAAAUGAAUUAAAGCAAAAAAGUGAAAAUCGAGAAAGAAAACAAUAAACCAGUAAAACCGUGAAAGCAACGAAGAAACCAUGUAAUAACAUAGAAAGCGGAAAAUGAAAGAAGACUAGGAAGAAACAAAGAAAUAAAAUGAAAAAUAAAAAGAAAAAAUAUAUAUGCGAAGAAACACAAAGCAAAAACAAUACAACAAGCGAGCGAGGAGCAAGCGGUCGAUCCCGAGCGAACAAGCGAGGAGAAUAAAUGGGCAGGCCCACUACAACACGACGCUUCAAUUCCAUCCGCGAUCAAGUCAAGGAGGAAGACAUAGAGAUUUGCAAGAUACAUACGGAUCUGAAUGUUGCAGACCCGUUGACUAAGCCUCUCUCACGAGUAAAACAUGAUCAGCACCAAGAAUCUAUGGGUGUUAGAAUCAUUACUGUGUAAUCUAGAUUAUUGACUCUAGUGCAAGUGGGAGACUGAAAGAAAUAUGCCCUAGAGGCAAUAAUAAAGUUGUUAUUUAUAUUUCCUUAUGUCAUGAUAAAUGUUUAUUAUUCAUACUAGAAUUGUAUUAACCGGAAACUUAGUACAUGUGUGAAUACAUAGACAAACAUAGUGUCACUAGUAUGCCUCUACUUGACUAGCUUGUUAAUCAAAGAUGGUUAAGUUUCCUAACCAUAGACAUGAGUUGUCAUUUGAUUAACGGGAUCGCAUCAUUAGAGAAUGAUGUGAUUGACAAGACCUAUCCAUUAGCUUAGCACGAUGAUCAUUUAGUUUGUUGCUAUUGCUUUCUUCAUGACUUAUACAUGUUCCUAUGACUAUGAGAUUAUGCAACUCCCGAAUACCGGAGGAACACUUAGUGUGCUAUCAAACGUCACAACGUAACUAGAUGAUUAUAAAUAUGCUCUACAGGUGUCUUCGAUGGUGUUUGUUGAGUUGGCAUAGAUCGAGAUUAGGAUUUGUCACUCCGAUUGUCGGAGAGGUAUCUCUGGGCCCUCUCGGUAAUGCACAUCACUAUAAGCCUUGCAAGCAAUGUGACUAAUGAGUUAGUUGUGGGAUGAUGCAUUACGGAAUGAGUAAAGAGACUUGCCGGUAACGAGAUUGAACUAGGUCUUGAGAUACCGACGAUCAAAUCUCGGGCAAGUAACAUACCGAUGACAAAGGGAACAACGUAUGUUGUUAUGCGUUUUGAUCGAUAAAGAGCUUCGUAGAAUAUGUGGGAGCCAAUAUGAGCAUCUAGGUUCCGCUAUUGGUUAUUGACCGGAGAUGAGUCUCGGCCAUGUCUACAUAGUUCUCGAACCCGUAGGGUCCGCACGCUUAACGCUCGAUGACGGUCGGUAUUAUGAGUUUAUGUGUUUUAAUGUACCGAAGGUUGUUCGGAGUCCCGGAUGUGAUCACGGACAUGACGAGGAGUCUUGAAAUGGUCGAGACAUAAAGAUUGAUAUAUUGGAAGAUGUUAUUCGGACACCAGAUGAGUUCCGGGGGUCACCGGAUAAAUAUCGGAGUGCCGGAGGGGUUAUCGGAACCCCCAGGGGAACUAAUGGGCCAACAUGGGCCUUGUGAGAGAUAGAGGAGGGCCCCUAGGGAUGGCCGCCCCCCGCCCCCUUGAGGAGUCCGAAUUGGACUAGGAGGGGGCGGCGCCCCCCUCUUUCCCUCUCCCUCUCUCCCUCUCCUUCCUUCCCCCUCUCUUCCCUUGUUGGAAACCUACUAGGAAUAGGAUUCCUAGUAGGAAUCCUACUUGGGGUGCGCCCUAUGAGGGCCGGCCGGCCUCCCCUUGCUCCUUUAUAUACGGGGGCAGGGGGCACCCUAGAACACACAAGUCAACAGUUGUUUUAGCCGUGUGCGGUGCCCCCCUCCACAGAUUUCCACCUCGGUCAUAUCGUUGUAGUGCUUAGGCGAAGCCCUGCGUUGAUAACUUCAACACCACCGUCAUCACGCCGUCGUGCUAACGAAACUCUCCCUCAGCCUCAGCUGGAUCAAGAGUUCGCGGGACGUCACCGAGCUGAACGUGUGCAGAUCGCGGAGGUGCCGUGCGUUCGGUACACUAGUAGAAAACAGGGCUUUGGUUCGGCCAGAAAAGAGCAUUAAUCCCUGUUGCAUUACGAACCGGGACUAAUGUGAGCAUUAGUCCCGGUUCGAGCGGCUAGGGCACCGUACAGGCAUUAGUCCCGGUUCAAAUGGGACCUUUAGUCCCGGUUGGUGCCACGAACCGAGACUAAAGGGUGCGAUGCCCAUUAGUACCGGUUCAUGGCACCAACCGGUACUAAAGGUUAGACCUUUAGUCCCGGUUCGAGCCACCAACCGGUACUAAUGGGGUUUGAGGCAUUAGUACCGGUUCAUGGCACGAACCGGUACUAAAGGUCCCAUUUUCAAACUCUACCCCCCCCCCUUGGAUCGCCUUUUCAGUUUUGUAAAAAGCAAAAGAAAAUGAUAAAAACUUCAAAAAUUAAAAUCCUUCUAGAUGUAGUUAUGUUACUACAUGUACUAGUUAGGAAAAUUUAAAAACUUAAAUUUGGACAUGUUUUGCAAAAAGUGUAGGGAAAAUGUAAAACGGCGACAACUUUUGCAUACGAUGUCAGAAAAAAACGUAUAAUAUAUCAAAAUGUUCAGCAUGAAAAUCCGCAUCCGAUUUGGACAGCCUACGGCUUGUUUGCAAAUUUUUAGAAUCCUCAAAUUCUAAAAGGAAAAAAAGUUAUGCUCAAAUUUCUGUUUUUUUUUAUUUUUUGUUAAAUCUGGUCAAACUACUUAUUCAAGAAGUAUUAGUGUUACUAAAUAAUUAUUCAACAAUAUUAGUGUUACUAAAUAAUUAUUUCAGUUUUUUUGAAUUUUGGUCAAAUCUGGUCAAACGGUGGUCAAACAAUGGUCAAACUAAUUAUUCAAGAAAUAUUAGUGUUACUAAAUAAUUAUUUCAGUUUUUUGAAUUUUGGUCAAAUCUGGUCAAACUGUGGUCAAACUAUGGUCAAACUACUUAUUCAAGAAAUACUAGUGUUACUAAAUAAUUAUUGUUUUUUAGAACAAUAGUUUCAAACUCAAACAGUGAAAUGUGUGACUUCAUGCUCAAGCUAAAUUCCUGAGGGUUAAUAGGAUUGACAUCUUACUAUUGUCAGGAAAACAACAAGUGCAGACUUGGAAACGAGGGAGAAUAGAACCCGGAAGUUAAGCGUGCUCAGGCUGGAGUAGUGAGAGGAUGGGUGACCGUCCGGGAAGUUAGAUGAUUUGGAAUGAUGAGGGGUGAUUAGAGAUUAGAGGUUAAAUUGAGCAGUGAUGAGGGGUGAUUAGAGAUUAGAGGUUAAAAUAAUUCAAAAAUUUGAAAUUCAAAAAAAAUCAUAAAAUUUCCACCAACCGGUACUAAAGGUGGACCUCCAGGCAGCGGCCACGUGGAGGGCCUUUAGUCCCGGUUCGUGUAAGAAGCGGGACUAAAGGGGGAGGCUUUAGUAACGACCCUUUAGUCCCGGUUACAGAACCGGGACUACAGGCCCUUUUUCUACUAGUGGUACUUGAUUGGUUGGAUCGCGAAGACGUUCGACUACAUCAACCGCGUUAUUUAACGCUUCCGCUUUCGGUCUACGAGGGUACGUGGACACACUCUCCCCGCUCGUUGCUAUGCAUCUCCUAGAUAGAUCUUGCGUGAUCGUAGGAAAUUUUUUGAAAUACUGCGUUCCCCAACAAAAACUGCCCGUUUGGCCUCGUCAUAGUAGUUGCGCACAGUCUAGGGGCAAAACUGAGCACGAUUCACAACUGAGGGAAAAACUGAGCACAUGGACACCACCGAGGGCAAAAGGAUAAUUAGCCCUUCUAGAAAUGUUGCAAUGAACAUCAUAAUCAUGGGUUGUUGGAACAUUCCGAUGGAGCGAGACACUAGAAUUUCUAAUAGUUGCAAUCCUAGAAAUCAGUCCUAGAAGCUGCUGCUCAAAAAGGACUGGAUCAUGGUAGGAUACAAAAUUAGCCACAAGUUUCUUCAAGCUCAUUAAGAGUGGAUUGGUUCAAACUUAUAGUUUCAGAAUGGUUUAACAAUUUCUUAUAAACCUUCCAAAUAUGUUUCCCAGAGCAGGCAUUGGAUAGACGGGAUUUAGACGGGCAUUGAAUGCGAAUGACCAUUUGACCUAAACCCGAGAUGCAAAAGUGAUGAACCUUGUGAUUAACUAGUAGAAUGCCCGUGCGGUGCUACGGGCCGCAAUGCUUAUAACAUAGUUGCCGGUGCGUGAUGGACCAUUUUUCGGAUAUAGGACAAUGCGCAUGUGUUGCAACAGGGUAUAUAUUUCCUUAUGGCUCAACACUAACCGUGUCUAACAUAGUUGUAGGAACCUCGUGCACAUUAGACAACAUGUCUUACCGCAAACUAAAUUCUCUCUCCCUCCCUCCCUCCCUCCCUCCCCAAGUCAGCAUGUAAGACUAAAGUUAAUUGCAUUUGUGAUACAAAGUAUUAAAUAUUAUAGUGGUAAUAUCAAGCGUGGCUAGCAUAUACCUUUAGGAUUUACGAAUCAUACUCUAUUAAUCCACACACUAGCCUCACAACGUCGCCUACCCAAGGAAAGCUCGCCACGGGACAUCCGACUCGUAAUCCCCCCUUUUAUCACCACGGACACACUUUGAAUUGCAAAUUCAAAUACAUAACCAUGUAGUUUGAUUAUAUUUCACAAUGUGCUUGCAGUUUCCAUCACAAUGAACUUCUGCCUUCCUCUCUCCCCUUCCACCGCCAUCUCUCUCUAGUCCUCAAUGUAACCACGUUGAUGCCCUCGAGUACACAAAUAGUCAGAACUAUGCAUUUAAUCCUUAUAUUUUUGGCAGCUUGCAUUUUUGCACUACUCGAACUGCAAAUAUUCUUACUUCUACAUAGGAUUAAAUAGAAUUUAAACCUUUUUUUUGCAACAUCAGAACAAGAACCGCCUUCAAGAUCAUUCAUACAACUGUUCAGACUUCUCCAUGGGAUUUAAACCCUUCUUUUUAAAUCUUAUUGUACUGUGCAUGAGUAAAACCAAUGAAAUACAACCAAAAUAAAGGAGAGCAUGAUGCAUCCUUUUAGUGCCCAGUCAAAAACAAAGGAGAACAUACGCUUUUAAAGAAAGCAAAAUGAAUUACCACAUACACACGUAAGGUAACUUUUUAGACCCUUCUUUCUCAUGUCUGUAAUAUACUGUGGACAAGUAAAAUCGAUGAAAUAGAAGCGGAAUAUUAGUAUGCAUCGCCGCACUCAUGAUUUAUAAGUAGAAGAUGUGCCUAGAAGACAAUCAGGUAAAAUUUCACCACUUAUGUGUGGUAGUUAACUGAUUAAACAAUCUGGCAAACAUCACUAAACAUCACCUAGUCAGUUCAAUAGCUACAAGCUUGUUUUAUACGUUAUUGAAAAAUAUAGCUUCAGCAUCUUGUGAUCAAUGUUGGCUAACAUCGUACAUGGCCUGACCUUUUUGGGCCAAUACAAAUUGGCUUUGCUAGCUUCAUCUUGAAGGUGGGGGACCUUGUCUACUGAACCUUAUCAUCAAAGAACCGCAAUAGCAAGCAAUUCUUCUCUUCCAUACUAUUGCAUGUAUAUUAGAAGAGGAACAAAUUAGAUACACAGGGAAAAACAAAUUAUUGGUUUUAAUUGUGUCGAACUAGGAUCAUGAAUAAAAAGGGCCACAUUUGUGAUAAUGUUACAAAGACAAAUUAAUAUCAUGACAUUUUUAGGUCUUUGCAUUAACUAGUCUCGAUUUAACAAAGGGACAACAUAAUACUGGGGCAUAGCUACCUUCUAUGAUAUAACGAAAUACUGUAACAAAUAGGAAAUAUCAUGACGCUCAAUAUGCUGAUUUCUAGAAUAUUUAUAGCAAAGAUACUCCCGGGACAUCAGUGCACAAGUGCAGCAAGCAAUGACAUAUAUGGUGCCUCAUAACAGCCAUCAAUUUGUAUCCCUAUGGGUAGGUGUCUAUGAGAAUAGAAUGGAUUGCAGUACUACUGAUUCUCUGCUGGUUGUAGGUCUUUGCAUUAAGUGGCUUCAAUUUUAAUUCAAAGUAAAAUAGAACAACAUAUUACAUGUUUGCCUGUAUUUGUAAACAUUCAAAAACCGAUCUUACCGAAAAGUUAUUCAAGCUAUUAUUUCCCUGCAUACUAUAUGCCCCCGUCGGUUUCAAAAUGCAAUACCUAUUUGUUUGACAACGCAUGCUCCUGCUCGCCAUCACCUUGCUCGACAUCCGGAGCCAAGGGAUGCGGUAUCCGCCACGGCAAGCCCUGGGGAGGCUCUUUGGGAGAUUUUUUACUACCGCAAGCUGAAUGGGGCUCUCAACCAGCAAUUUAUUAACAUAUAAGGAAGCUCACGUCGAGAGCCGCGGAAGUACAAACGUCCAAAGAUAUAAUGUCGUGCGAAAGCGGCUAGGCAAGCUUCCAUGGACUGCUCAGCGUUUCAAAUGUUCAGAGAUGAGACAUUCAAAUGUGGAUUGAGCAUCAGUAUUAUCUCAGCCUGCGUAAAAUGAAUUAAAAUGUGUGAGGAAGAUAAAAUACUCCUGAGUUUUAAUAAGCUAAGAACCAAUUAAUUUAUUUUUGGCAAGAAAUAAGUGUAUAAAAUUAGAAUAAUAGGGUGCAAUACCAUCUGAAUGAAUAAUUUAAGCUAGGAAAAAUAGUACAUAAAUGAGUGUGGUGUUUUUAUUUCCAUUCACGAGUCAUUGACAUCAGGUUAUCUUCUCUUUUCCUCUGUGUGAGACUGCACCUACAUAUUUGGCACCCCAGUUUUCCUUGAAGUUUAGUAUCAAGCGUCUUCUUUGACAUAAGAGUUAAGUGCCAGCAUAGAAUUGGAUGUUAAUGCAAGCUUGCGAGAUACACAUAAGAGUUAAGCCUCAAGGUGAAUGCAUGUGCGUCGCUACGGGAUACAAAAUAGAAAACAUAUUGAGAUUUGAGAACGACAAACAGGGUCACAAUCUAAUUCCAUGGGGAUUAUAUUUAACUUCCACCUAUGUUAGGAUCAACAUGCACCCUUUGAACACUAUUCCAGCCUGUUUGUUUCUACAUGGUAAGAAUAUUUACAUAAAUGCAUUAAGCAAAUGUUAACUCCAAACCUUUCCAUUGACAUCUCCAUAUAUAGUACACGCUCCGCCAAUCAUUUCCUUUCAUUUGACAUCCAUUGUUCCAUCCUGCAAAGCUGACAUAAUUGAUAAUGAACGAGACCAUGGAACUAUAACAUUUUUAUACUACAAAAACUUUAUAGGCAUUUACUCAAUGGAGCAGCUAAAACCUGGCAGAAGCCGUUUUGAAAUGUUAGGGCAUUUCUAACUGAUCCCUAAUAACCGGUUAGAGGAGUAAAAUCCUGACUUUACUCCCCUAACCGGGACCUAGCCGACCCCCAAUCGGUGCUACUGGAGUAAAAAUUAUUAUACUNNNNNNNNNNNNNNNNNNNNNNNNNNNNNNNNNNNNNNNNNNNNNNNNNNNNNNNNNNNNNNNNNNNNNNNNNNNNNNNNNNNNNNNNNNNNNNNNNNNNNNNNNNNNNNNNNNNNNNNNNNNNNNNNNNNNNNNNNNNNNNNNNNNNNNNNNNNNNNNNNNNNNNNNNNNNNNNNNNNNNNNNNNNNNNNNNNNNNNNNNNNNNNNNNNNNNNNNNNNNNNNNNNNNNNNNNNNNNNNNNNNNNNNNNNNNNNNNNNNNNNNNNNNNNNNNNNNNNNNNNNNNNNNNNNNNNNNNNNNNNNNNNNNNNNNNNNNNNNNNNNNNNNNNNNNNNNNNNNNNNNNNNNNNNNNNNNNNNNNNNNNNNNNNNNNNNNNNNNNNNNNNNNNNNNNNNNNNNNNNNNNNNNNNNNNNNNNNNNNNNNNNNNNNNNNNNNNNNNNNNNNNNNNNNNNNNNNNNNNNNNNNNNNNNNNNNNNNNNNNNNNNNNNNNNNNNNNNNNNNNNNNNNNNNAUGGCCGGACGCGGUGGCCGGAGGUCCCCGCCGCCGAUCCGAAGCUUCGAUCCGCGCCACCACGGGAGCCGCGCGUCCUCCUUCGUCAAUCUUCCUCAAGCGGCCGCGGCCGCCGCCCCCUCUCCGGCCUGGCUCUCCGGCUUCUCCACUUUGAGGACACACGCUGGGCAAAUAAACUCAACUUACCACUAUUUUUAGGGGAUCGGUUAGAAAUGCCCUUAGGAAAGUACUGCAGACCAAAAGAACAUGGUGGGCAAAUAAACUCAACUUACCAUUACCAAUCAUGACUUCCAUGGAUGCCAAACCAAUUUCAAUCUUGAAUGGUAUAACCAAGUCGUGCUCUCGGCUCUUUUCCUUCAUAUCCCAUUGCAAAAUUUAGAAGUAUUUGAAAAUCAGAAAUGCCAACAAUUAGUAUUAGUUAAUCAACAAUUGUGCUACUGUAAAAUGCACGGUAACAACCCACUACUAUAAUAGUCAAACAACACCUUAAAUUAGGCCUAAAAACUAUGGAAAUGCAACAUUAACGCUAGUAUUAAACCCACUUGAGCUUCUGCUUGGCUAAUACCUACAAUUAUAGCCAUUAUCAAAUAGUUGUCGUAAAGCUUACUGAGAUGAAAAUGUUCUGUAGAUGAAAAGAACACUCACAUAUGUUAUUCCUCAUCUUUUAUUCUGAGUUCAUGGAUAAAUGUGCCAAACAAAGACACUAUUGCAUCUCCGGUGUGCUGCCAAAUUCUUAAGAAAUGUUAUAAUUCCAUGGUCUUCAUUCUUCAUUGUCGAUCAUGUCAGCUCUGCAGGAAGGAUCAACCAUUAAUAUACACUAAUCUUAUGAAUAACAUAAUCUUAAACCUAAGGUAUUACUUCUAGAAACAAAUCAAUGAUUUUAGAAAUGCAGGAUUUGUUCAGCCUGAGAACCAAACAACAACUUCAACCAAAGCAUGGGUGAAGAAAUGAAAGGAGGAUGAUGAAGACAAUAGCGUGGACUCCGGCAGCAGCUAGACUCGCGGAGGUGACGGGAGGCGAGGGGAAACGGGAAAGGGAGGACAUGCGCCCCUCACACCGAAGCAAUAUGCCACAUAAGACACUUGGUGAUGCCAUUGAUCCAUACCACAUCCUGUGUGAGGUUAAAUAGUACCACUGUCUCCGUACAAUCUGCAUGACCAAAAAAAUUCCAGUCAACGAGAUUUGGCAUGACCAAACAUAAUAGUUCAAAUCAACAAUAAGAGGCGAAUCAUGAACAGAAGCAUAAUAACAGUGUACCAGAACCAUUCUUCUAGACAUGUAAUCUGUAAAUUUUCCAGCUCAACUAAAUAAUAUGAAAAGAUAGCCAGCUAAACUCAAAAAUUAAAAUUGAAAUGAAGCCAUUGGCAUCAACUGUAGGAUUCACCUACAAUAGCUUAAAAAUAUAUGCACUGUAGCUCAAAUUUUCAGCACAACAACACAUUCUCCACAAUAGCAUCGAAUUUCGGCACCUUAUUUGGAAAAUAAUAAACAACAUAAACAAGGGAUUGAGAGGAGGAGAUAUUUCAUGGUAAUUACCUUCUAGCUACUGAUGGAUAGAGCAGCACGUUGCAUAGGAGAUCAGAGCGUGCUCCAGAGAGGACGACCGUGGCACAGAUGAGAUCGAGGCAGAGCUCGAACCGGAAGGAGGCUUCAAAACAUCUGACAUAACAUCACAAACAUUUUCAGAGGCUGGAGAUGUUUCAGGCACUCGAGAUGCAUUUUUCACAACAGCAUCUGAAUUCUCCAACUCACAAUAACAGAUUGCGCGAGUGGAAAUGCUAAAUCGAUGCCUACUUAUUCAUAUCUCCAGUCCGAACUAAGAUUAAUCCAGGUUGCACACGCACUGGAUAUCACACGAGGAAUCAAAACCGGAUGCACGUGAAAGCAUAGAGAUGGGAGAGGAGCACAGAGGAAGAGAAGGGCAAGAGGAACCUAAGGAUGUCUGCGAUGAAGGAGCGAUGCCAGAACAUCACAAAGGGGGACCCGUAGCUCGUCACGUGGCGCGGCCACCUCAUUGUCGGCUGCCACCCCGCGCUACCGCCUCCCUGCGCAGGUUCCGCUCAUGGAGCAUGACGAGCGCAUGGCCUACCUUCACCGCGGCCUGGUCCUCCCCACUAUGUGAAGCUCGCACGUGUCGCCGCCGCAAUUGCUCAGGAUGACGGAUGAAGAUCCUACAGCAGCGACGUGGGUGAGGGAUGCAGCCGACGGUGCGCAACAUGCAAAGGGAUCCGCAAAGAAGGCGAAGGCGGACCUCGGCAGCGGUGUCCCGAUGGCGACCCGGAGGUCCGCAACAAUGGCUGCGGCGCCUCCUUUAGGACCUCGGCGCCGGGUCCUCGAUGACCCCUCGGCGCGGGCGACUGGUUUUCGUCGAUGUAGAUAAUAGAUCAGCGAUGUUUCAGUGAUCGACGAUGGUUUCCAUCGAUGUAAUGAAUAGAUCGACGACGCUUCAAGGAUCCGCGAUGGCGGCGGCGGCGUGGUUCCCGUCUUUGUAGCGAAUAGAUCGAGGCCAGCCUCGAUCGUCAGUUUUUCUUCGUGCUAGGGGUUGUCGCUCCCAGGCUCGUCUGUUUCAUCUGGUUUUUGUUCGUGUGAGGGGGCGUCGCUACGUGGUUGUCGCCCAAUUUUUUUUGGUUAGGUGCGAGGGGUCGUUACGGGGAGGUGGGAGGAGGGAUGAAAAAAAAGCCAGGCAGAGGUGGGAGGUUGAGACGAAAAAAACGAACGAAACGGAGACUACCAAGUGGAGAUAAGGAAUUUUCUCAUUGUGAUACGUGAUCACGUGAGGGCGUGGCUUCGACGGUUGUGUUUUUUUCCUAGUGGAGCUAAGUAUGGAAGGGGAUCGGUGGAAGAAAUAAAUCGGAGAGGGAGGUGAUCUAUUUGGAAGGUGAUAUCAUGUAUAUGGUAUUAUUUCUGAAUUCUUAUUAUCAAAUAUUUACAUGAUUGAAUUGAAUCGACACCUGCCAAAGCAAUCACGAAUAAAUGGAAGGAGUAUCAGACGCGAUUCGGUUUUAAGUGUGCAGAAGAAGAAAUUAACGUGGGAGGGAUUGUGGGAGGUGAGACGAAAAUAAACCGAAUGAAAAUUAACCAGACAAAAAAAACGUGGAGGCUAUUCUACCAACUGAGACAUUAGGAGUAGAGAUACUCCAAGGAGCUUGAUUUACUUUGUUGAAAAUAUUUUUAUAUUUUCAGAAUAAAUAAUAACUGCAAAAAACAUGUAAACAAUGUUGAAAGGUGUUUUUUAUGUACUCCCUCCGAUCCAUAUUAAUUGUCCAGCUUACUCCGAUCCAUAGAGUAGACAAUUGGUCUGGGGUUUGUAGUUUCACCAAUAGUAACUUUCCACGAGAUAAAAGCACGGCAAAGGUCACAUAGUUAUUUGAAUUGAAAUAUUUCAUACUUACGAUAGAAUUUGUAUGAUGUGAUGGAAUUACAUAGAGAGUACAUUCAUAAAGUGACAUACUGUUGAUUGUACCCCCAAAGCCUUUAGCUCUUUAUUGUGACAAACACGUUUACUAACUUCAAUCCUUAGUGGCAAUAGCAUAAUGCAAGCAUUCUCCUUUUGUUAUCACCAAUGUAGAUUACUUGCAAGAUUAACCGAACAAAUGCACACCACUCUCUCUGUGUUGGACAUAAUAUAGAUCUAUUACCAGUGACAAGUUAACAAUAGUAUAAUUGCAGAGGCAUUUUGCUCCUAGACAUUGAGUAUCACCGCCAUGUGAACAAAAAGAUGACUGACAACUUGGGAGCGCUUUAACAGACUUGACUACAACAUGUAAGUUAAUCUUCUACUGGACUAAAAGCGCACCAUACCCAAGUCCAUUAACUAUACGCCCAAGUCCAUUAACUGUGACCACUUCAAACCAUUGUUUCCUGCUUUGAUGUUUUGCCCUUAUUUCACCUUGUGCAGAGAAUUAACCAAGCAACAACUAGCGGUAUACCUUUGAGUGCUGGACUGCAUAGUAGGAGGGAGAUGUUAGUAUUGUUCUAUAGAUGUUGAUUCGAAAGUUACAUAGGGAAGGUGUAUGUGCCUGGUCAUAAGUUGUUGACAAUUGUUCUUCGGUUCAAUUUUGAUGUUUCUCCAACAUGAAGAGACUGCAAGAAAGACUCAAAAAGUAUGUUUGGUGGCACAAGGCAUGGUCUUACUAUUUUAAAAACAAAAAUUGAUUGUACUGAUAUCUCAUGUUGUCGUAUGGGCUAACCCAUACAGGCCACAGAGCUACAUUGAUGUCAGGACAUUCACUUCCUUGGGCGCAAUUUACUUGUAACCAUAUAGUGAUGUUCUUGCAUCCCACGAAGCUGCAAGUGCAUAGCAUGAGCAAGGCGUUUAGUUAAAUAAUCUUUUUGGAUUGUAAGUAGUAUUGAGUGUCGUUAAAAUCACCACAGUACCAUGCAGAUUUUCCGGUUCCUGUGUUACAUGAUGCAUUCGAGAAUCUAAAUAUCCAUCUUUUCUUGCGUACAAGCACUGUGAACCAUUGGAUGUUGGACAUGUUGGUUGGAAGGAAAAUCUGCAUGGAAAACUAUUUAGUAAUUUGAUUGAAGUGCAAAAAAAAAUGACAUGAAGUAUACGUGUAAGGCAGGGUAGUAUGUUACCAUAUCAUGAUAGAGGUGGUUUUCUCCCUUUUCUGUUCCAUACUUGCCAGCUAGAAUCCCCCUCGUGGUAACUAUGUUAUGUCCCAUCCUUUUGCGGUAUGCCAACAUCCAACGCUCUUUCGAUGAACACCUUCAUGUGUUCUCAUAUGUCAACAAGGCUAUUUAGUCGGAUGAUCUCAAUAAGAGCAUCGAUGACCUCAAAAACAAGAAAUUGAGUUAGUUGUAAAACAACACCGUAGAAAAAUAGUAUUUUGUAAAAUCACUUACAUCAUCAUCUAACCAUAUCUCAUGUGGUGUAGGAACAUUUUCUUCAUGGUGAUAUCAGCAGUGUGCACCAUCUCCAUUUCUGAAGUGUAUGUUGACAUAUUCGGUUAUUAGGUGCUCCUUAAAUUUAUCUACAUCCUCCUUAAAUUCCAAUAUGUCCUUCGCAGUUUCCUUAAUUAAGUUUCUUUUCCCAUGGUUAUUCCUCUUAUUAUUCUUCGCAACCCUUUGCUUAACCUUGCUACUGUCAUUCGUUUCUUUAGAAAGAGAUAGAUGUUGUUUUUUCCUUCUCUUCAUCUCAAGUGUAUAAAACUGAAAAACAUAAUUCUUGAGUAAUGGUGAUUAUUUUUCUUAUACGAUCACUUUUGACGCACUUCCCUAUGGAGUCCACAUCACUUUCAGUUGACUAGUUUGUUUUCUAGUUGUUGUGAAUAAGUAUCACUCUUGUUGGCGGAUGUGGAUUUCUACUUUGUAAUCUGUAAUAAGGAGAAUGUGUUAGUAAUAUAUACGAUAAUAAAAUAAAAUCCAAAUUUGAGGGACAUCUCACCUCAAGUUCUUCAUGAGGUCGAUGGACCUGUAUUGGAUUAUGUAUCCGACCAUACCGGUUACGCCUAUUAGUUUGGCGUGCACAUAUUCUUCUGAGUUGAUAGGAUUUUAGUAACCGACAGUGGGUAGGUAUGGACGGGCAGGCUCUAGAGAGAACAGGUACGUGUGCAACCUACUACUCCCUCCAUCCCAAAAUAUAGUGGGUAUUAUAUUUAUUUAUUUUAAGUAAAACCUUGCAAACUUCAAUCAUGUUUAUAGAAAAUUUUGUUAACAUGUACAAUACCAAAUAAGUACCAUUAAUUUACAAUGAAAUAUAUUUUCAUAUGGUAUAUAUUUGGUACUGUGGAUAUAGAUAAGUUUCUCAUUAAACUUGGUCAUCAAUCUCUAGCAAUGUAUAUCAGAGCAAACAUCGGCAGCUUUUCGGAAAGAUCAAAAUACUUUUGUGCUUCCUCGUCCCAUGUUCGUCCAUAUGUCCUCGUUUUCUUCGCUCUACCCCCACACUAGGUGUGUAGGAAACUUUGCAGCAGCCCCAUGUGGUGGAAACUGCUCAUCUGAAUUCAACUCUCGACUUGAUAUGGGUACUCGUAUCUUCCUGAAUUUAUUUUCAGCUUUUCAGCCCUAACACUCAAUGCGAGGUGUUUCUCAAAACUGUAGAGAAAUAAAAAUAAGUUUCUUGAGCACACUGUCUUAUUUCCCUUUUCAGGCAUAUACAUGUGUCUGUACAACUACUCACUAUGUUUUUAAGCUUUUCUUGUUCUAUUAAAUAAGCCAGAAAUUGCUGCCCAAUUAAUUAACAAAAACAUGGAAAUUUUGAUACAUUCAUGACCAAACCAACUCACACCGAAUACAGUUGGGCCAAGUUUUGGGCGGUGUGGCAAAUCAAGGUGAAUCUGUUCCGUUGAAACCAGUUUACCUCUCACCUAUUAGAAAGAAGAAAUCACAACUACUACGGGGAGCAGACCCGAGACUUCCACCAGAGGUAAAGAAGUACACCACAAGAUCAUGUUCUAGUUUCAUUGCCCUACAUGCCAAUUAUCAACAGCCAUCGUUACCUUGUCUCCAACAAGAUAAGGUCAACACCGUCAAAUAUGUGGAAAAAUUGGAGCUGUAACCCAACUUCCAACCAUUUAACUAUGCCAUGCGCUGACUGCGGACACCACUAGCUUUCAAGUGUUUAGGAGAGUCCUGAUUUCCCGUUAGUACAGUACGAGAGACCCAAACAGCAUAAAUGUGAGCACUAGGAUUGAAACCCUGGUGGCCAGAGUCAUGCCCCCACAACAACCAGCGGUGCCAGGAACCAAAAGAUGUGGGUUCAAGUGCAUAAAUCUCUCUAAAAUGUCCUAAACUUUUGCACAAAUAUGAAUAAAACAAAGCUUGCAACCAAAAAAUGUGAGUUUAGACCCCACAGCUUACACAGAAUCACCCCUACCCACGACUCCACCACCUCACCAAGAGGUGGUUCACACACCAUUGAAUUCAUAUUUAAAAGAAUUUUCUAAUGGUAUACUUGAAGGAAAUAUGCCCUAGAGGCAAUAAUAAAGUUGUUAUUUAUAUUUCUUUAUAUCAUAAUAAAUGUUUAUUAUUCAUGAUAGAAUUGUAUUAACCGGAAACUUGAUACAUGUGUGAAUACAUAGACAAAACAGAGUGUCCCUAGUGUGCCUCUACUUGACUAGCUCGUUAAUCAAAGAUGGUUAAGUUUCCUGACCAUAGACAUGUGUUGUCAUUUGAUGAACGGGAUCACAUUAUUAGGAGAAUGAUGUGAUGGACAAGACUCGUCCGUUAACUUAGCAUAAUGAUCGUUAAGUUUUAUUGGUAUUGCUUUCUUCAUGACUUAUACAUGUUCCUUUGACUAUGAGAUUAUGCAACUCCCGAAUACCGGAGGAACACCUUGUGUGCUAUCAAACGUCACAACGUAACUGGGUGAUUAUAAAGAUGCUUUACAGGUGUCUCUGAAGGUGUUUGUUGGGUUGGCAUAGAUCGAGAUUAGGAUUUGUCACUUCGAGUAUCGGAGAGGUAUCUCUGGGCCCUCUCGGUAAUGCACAUCGUGAUAAGCUUUGCAAACAAUGUGACUAAUGAGUUAGUUACGGGAUGAUGCAUUACGGAACGAGUAAAGAGACUUGCCGGUAACGAGAUUGAACUAGGUAUUAGGAUACCGACGAUCGAAUCUCGGGCAAGUAACAUACCUAUGACAAAGGGAAUAGCUUAUGUUGUCAUUGCGGUUUGACCGAUAAAGAUCUUCGUAGAACAUGUAGGAACCAAUGUGAGCAUCCAGGUUCCGCUAUUGGUUAUUGACCGGAGAUGUGUCUCGGUCAUGUCUACAUAGUUCUCGAACCCGUAGGGUCCGCACGCUUAACGUUCGAUGACGAUUUGUAUUAUGAGUUAUGUGUUUUGGAGACCGAAGAUUGUUCGGAGUCCCGGAUGAGAUCACGGACAUGGCGAGGAGUCUCGAAAUGGUCGAGAGGUAAAGAUUGAUAUAUUGGACGAUGAUAUUCAGACACCAGAAUGGUUCUGGAUCGUUUCGGGUAUUUUUCAGAGUACCAGGAGGUUACCGGAACNNNNNNNNNNNNNNNNNNNNNNNNNNNNNNNNNNNNNNNNNNNNNNNNNNNNNNNNNNNNNNNNNNNNNNNNNNNNNNNNNNNNNNNNNNNNNNNNNNNNNNNNNNNNNNNNNNNNNNNNNNNNNNNNNNNNNNNNNNNNNNNNNNNNNNNNNNNNNNNNNNNNNNNNNNNNNNNNNNNNNNNNNNNNNNNNNNNNNNNNNNNNNNNNNNNNNNNNNNNNNNNNNNNNNNNNNNNNNNNNNNNNNNNNNNNNNNNNNNNNNNNNNNNNNNNNNNNNNNNNNNNNNNNNNNNNNNNNNNNNNNNNNNNNNNNNNNNNNNNNNNNNNNNNNNNNNNNNNNNNNNNNNNNNNNNNNNNNNNNNNNNNNNNNNNNNNNNNNNNNGGAGAGGGGAGGCAGCCCACAAGGGGUGGCCGCGCCCCCUCCCAUGGGGAAUCCGAAUUGGACUAGGGGAGGGGGUGCGCCCCCCUUUCCUUCUAGUCUUCCCUCUCCCUUCCCCUUUCCCCCUCCGUAAGAAAGGAAGGGGGCCCGAAUAGGACUUGGAGUCACACUCGGUUUCCCCCCAUGGCGCGCCCCCUAGGCCGGCGGCCUCCUCCUUUAUAUACGGGGGCAGGGGGCACCCCAGGAAACAUCAAUUGUUCUCUUAGCCGUGUGCGAUGCCGCCUCCACAGUUUACUCCUCCGGUCAUAGCGUCGUAGUGCUUAGACGAAGCCCUGUGCGGAUCACAUCACCAUCACCAUCACCACGCCGUCGUGCUGACAAAACUCUUCCUCGACCCUCUGUUGGAUCAAGAGUUCGAGGGACGUCAUCGAGCUGAACAUGUGCUGAACUCGGAGGUGCCAUACGUUCGGUACUUGGUCGGUUGAAUCGUGAAGACAUUUAAGAAAUGUUCAAAAAAUUCUGAAUUUUUUUAUGAAAAACUUUGACAAAAGUCCUAAGAGCUUGUAAAAUUCCAUCAUAAAAUCACAUUUGUGGAAGAUGUGGCAAAAAGAACAUAAUUAGUGUUCCAAAAUACUUUGGAAAGUAGCAUCUUCACAGUAUCGGUUUUUUUUUUUUUUGCCAAAACUUUCACAAAUGUGAUUUCAUGGAGAAACUUUGCAAACUCUAAGAACAUUUGUCAAAGUUUGCCAUAAAAAAUCAGAUUAUUUUGAAUAUUUUUAAAUAUUUUUUGAUUUUACUGUUCACCCGAUUCCAUUUGAGCUCGGAUGCUGAACUUCACGUCGUCUAAUAUCAUAUCAUUCACAAAAACAACUUGCCACUAUAUUGUACUCCCACGUUAAAGAGAAACUCCACCAUAAAAGAUGGAACCUCAUUAAGGUCGAGCCACAUAUUUUUUUAUAUUCAGCUUAACCAAUUAAAUACACUAGUUUUUUUACAUAUGAUUUAACCAACAAAAUACACCACUGAAUUCAUAUUUGAAAGAAACUUUUUUGUGACAUGACGCUGUGAUGAAACUUCAGGGAUAAACAAGCAUCUACGGCAAUAGUCAUUAAGAAACCACACAAAAUAUGAGCAUCAGAUUCCGAAGGAUUUCAGACACAGUAGAACAACCGAGAUAAAACAGCAUAUGGAAAAGAACACCACCUCACUUAAACCAAUAAUAAUGCCAUUAUUUCUGGGCAAAAGCAAACGCCGCCUCUCCCAACCCUCACAAGGCUCAAAACAUAACCAUAAUAACAAAUCCUCCGCCUAAGAGACAGCAUGUAAGAUAAUAGAAGGGAAACAGGAUAGUUGAUAAGAGUUCCCGUUGGUGCCGCUGCUCCGACUCAGGCUCAGGCCAGCCGCUAGUCGUGCUGGACACACUAGUACCGGUAGGCCGCAGGCUUGUACGGACCCUCAACUGGGAUGCUAAUGUAGUCAGACUGGGACUUGGUGAGCUUGGUCAGCCUGGCGCCGAGCUUGCCCAAGUGGAGGGCCGCGACCUUCUCGUCGAGGUGCUUGGGGAGAACGUACACCUUCUUCUCGUACUUGCCAGUGGCCUUCUCGUUCCACAACUCAAGCUGAGCAAUAACCUGCAACAAGCGCAAAAUUGGAUGUCAGCACAUGGUUGUACCAGUUAUUAACUGAUUGGUUGACAGGAGACUGCGCAUUAAUCAUACCUGGUUGGUGAAUGAGCAGGACAUGACGAAGCUGGGGUGGCCAGUGGCACAUCCAAGGUUCAUCAGACGACCCUCAGCAAGAACAAUGAUGCCAGUCUUGGUCUCGGGGAAGACCCAGCGGUCAGUCUGGGGCUUGAUGGUGAUGCGCUUGACACCAGGGUAGGUCUCAAGGCCGUUCAUAUCGAUCUCAUUGUCGAAGUGACCAAUGUUGCAGACAAUGGCGUUGUUCUUCAUCUUCCUCAUGUGGUCAACCAUGAUGAUGUCCUUGUUUCCGGUGGUGGUCACAAAGAUAUCAGCCUCAGAGACAACAUCCUCCAAGGUGAGGAUCUGGAUGCCCUCCAUCAGGGCCUGAAGGGCACAGAUGGGGUCAAUCUCUGUCACGAUCACACGGGCACCAGCCUGCUUGAGUGCGGCCGCACAGCCCUUGCCAACAUCACCAUAACCGCAGACCACGGCAACCUUGCCGGCGAUCAUAACAUCAGUGGCCCUCAUAAGACCAUCAGGGAGCGAGUGACGGCAACCGUAAAGGUUGUCAAACUGUUGAGGAGAAACAUAUAUUAGUGUUUUAUUACAACAUAGAUUAGUAAUUGUUAGCAAGGUGAAAAUACCAUUGAAUUCUACCUUUAGAUUAAAACAGAACAAGAGCACAUUUUAAAAAAAACUACACCGGGCAAAUCACAUAAUUCAGUGCAUGGCACAGUAGUGUUUCAUGCUCAAAUGAGUGGAGUGAAAUAAUAAUAUUUGGUAGACAGAUUACUCUAUAAUUAGACCCUCCCAGGCCGUCAGAUCCAGAAAACAAUGCGACUAAUGUUAUCAUUAGUUAGUCAACAACCAGCGUAACAAACACUAAACCCAAAGACAAAGAUACAGAUCCAGGCCUAGUACUCCACCGCUGCUUCACCACGAAGCAGCAUCUAAACUAGGCAACAACGAGAUCUAGAUGUUACAAUAUCAGAUCUACAACAUAAACAUGUAAACUACUACAACAAUACUACUACGCUCAAACAAGUAGAAACGGAGCAUCAGAUCUGAAAUGGAAAAUGGGAACCAGGGAAGGAAGUAUACCUUGCUCUUGGUGACGGAGUCGUUGACGUUGAUGGCGGGGAAGAGGAGGGUGCCGGACUCCUGCAUCUGGUAGAGCCUCUUGACGCCGGUGGUGGUCUCCUCGGACACGCCGACGAGCCUCUCCUUCAUCUUGCGGUACUUGUGGGCGUCGGUCUUGAGCCCGUCGCGGAUGAUGGUGAGGACGAUCUUGAACUCGGGGUUGUCGGUGGACUCCGGGUCGGGGACCUUGCCGGACUUCUCGAACUCCUCCUCGGCCUUGACGCCCUCGUGGAUGAGCAGCGUGGCGUCGCCGCCGUCGUCGACGAUGAGGUCGGGGCCGCCGCCGGCGCCCCAGUCGAGGCAGCGCUCGGUGCACCACCAGUACUCCUCGAGGGUCUCGCCCUUCCAGGCGAAGACGGCGGCGGAGUCGCGGGCGAUGGCGGCGGCGGCGUGGUCCUGGGUGGAGAAGAUGUUGCAGGAGCACCAGCGGACCUCGGCGCCGAGGGCGGUGAGGGUCUCGAUGAGCACGGCGGUCUGGAUGGUCAUGUGGAGGGAGCCGGAGAUCCGGGCGCCCUUGAAGGGCUGCGAGGGACCGAACUCGGUGCGGCAGGCCAUGAGGCCGGG
Molecule: long non-coding RNA, 57288 nt
Filed under: Triticum aestivum (bread wheat)
Lineage: Eukaryota; Viridiplantae; Streptophyta; Magnoliopsida; Poales; Poaceae
Description: long non-coding RNA (TAES_LNC024723)
Source: RNAcentral